UAAAGAAUCCUUUUAAAAAAACAAAGAUAUGAGACUCUAAGCCCAAUCUAUUUUGUUUUGUAAAGAAAAAGCCCAGUCUAUCUCCUUUUGAAGAGGCCCAUCAAAAUUAACCACAGACAAAAAUAAACACAGACGGAGUCGGAGUCGCACUGAGCCAGAAACGACCGCAGCCGCUGUGCCCUUGUUGUAAAAAAGAUAAGUUCGAGUGUCACUGGACUCAAUUGGCCGGUAAACGCUGCCGGAGUUGGUCUUCGCCAGAAACAGUGAGAAAGUCAUUCAACUUUCCCUUCCUUUUUAUUAAUAAACUUUCUUAAAUGCGAUUUCAGCGCAAUUCGCGGUCGCGACAGCAGAUCAGAACACCAUUCCGCACCAAACCGACGCAAUUGAAAACCUAAAUUGCAGCUACAUUAGAGAAUUAGGGUAUUAAUGUCCGCAAGUACAAUUUCAUUCAUACUCUAAUGAUUAACUGUUAAUGACAAAAAUUUCGUCAUGAGGCAUAGCCAUAGUUCAUUCCCACCACAAAUCUUAGAAAACAAACUCGCUUCUCAAGAAGCAGAAAUCGAGCGACUCGCCGGCGACAAUCACCGAUUAGCAAACACACACAAAGCCUUAAGAGAUGCACUUGUAACUGCUGCACAAGAUGUGCAAAAGAUAAAGUCACACAUUAGAAGCACUCAAACUGAAAGUGACAUUCAAAUUAGAGUGUUGUUAGAUAAGAUUGCGAAAAUGGAGGUUGAUAUUAGAGCUAGUGAUAGUGUAAAGAAGGAGCUUAAACAUGCUCAUAUUGAAGCUCAGAGUUUGGCAGCUUCUAGACAGGAAUUGAGUGCAGAAAUUCAGUUAGCUACUCAGGAAUUGAAGAUGGCUAUUGGUGAUGUUAACAGUUUGCCAGAUUUGAAGGGUGAAAUGGAUAGUUUAGUGCAAGAGCACCAGAGGAUACGGUGAGUAUUCAAGUCUUUCAAGUUUGUGGCAUGGCUGUUUCCACCUUCAUGUAACCCAUACUCAAUUCUUAAGGGUAUUUUAGUUAACUCUGUUGUUACAUGGUCCAAUCUGUCCUAAAAACUUGGUUUUUCACAUGACACAUUGGUAUUGUUUAUGCAACUGAUUCUUCCUAGUAUGAUUUUUAUUUUUUUUUAAUUUUUUUUUAAUUUUUUGUGUGAUAGUUGUUAUACUAUGAGAAUGAAUAUAAAGUACACUGCUUUCUAUAAGUAAAAGCUGCAUAUUUUAACCCUUCCCAUAAAACAUAUUGAUAUGAACAACAUGAUUUUAUAUUGUGGAUGCCUCACACAUACAGAUACACUACAAACCUUUAUAUUGUAGGAAAAUGCCAGCAAAUGUUGUCUAUACGGACACAAUUGCUGUUGUGAUGCCUUUGUGGAGACCUCCAAAACUGUUAUAUUGCGGCUAGUGUUACCGAUGACUGCCAUGGCAGAAAGCUGAAAAAUUGCCAAUUUAAGCUGCCAUUAAAUGUCAUAUGGCACCGCCAUCCCUCACAAAUUGAUCAUAGUGGCUGUCAAAAAAAAACACCACCGCAAUCGGCUGUGGCUGUCCAUGGUUGAUACUACCUCCGGUUCUAUAUAUAAAAACUUUUGGGUUCUAUAUAUAAGAAAAAGUCACGACUUUUAAGGUUUAAAUUACUUUUAUACCCUUGUUUAAGAUGUUUGUCUUUUUAAUAUUAUUAGUGGGUAUUUAAUGUCUCAGUUUUCAAUAAGGGUAUAUAUGUAAAAAUAAUCAAAAAGUUAGAACAAUUAAUUAGUAUAUUGGUUUUGAUGUUUUUUGUUAUUUUCUCUUAUAAAUGAAACCAGAGAUAGUAUUUGGCAACACUGAUUGUGUCUGUAGUUGUGGUUGUGGAUUGUAAUUUAGAACUAUGAUGAACGGUGAAGAAAUAAUCAAUGAAAUUUAUUCAUGAUGGUUUAUCUCUGAUGAAUACGGUAAUAGCAAAGUUAGGACCCAUAUGCUCUUGACAAGGACUAUUAUAUUCUUUUCUCCGAACUUUGUAAAGCUUAUUAGGAUAUGACUGCAUUCAAGAUAUGCCUUGUUAUCUCUGAAGUGAGCAUCAUGAGUGGCUUAGUAGUUUUGAGUCCUGUAUUGUCAAUUGUCAUGAUAUACUGAUGUGAAACAAAUCCGUUCAAAACUUGUAAGAAUUACUCUUGAAUCAUUUGAGGGUGCGAUGGAAUUGUUAUCAGUAUCUAUCAAUUUAUGUUUUAAGUCAGUGUUGCUAUUCGCGAAUGCCAUUAUAUGUCUAAAAUCUUGCAUAAUAUGUUACUCUUUUGCAUCAUGUUGCAAAUUUUCUUUUUCUCAGUUUGUUGCCUCAAAUUUGUUAUCUCUUUUUGUUGACUUGUAAAUUUUCAAAUCUACUUGGUUAAUAGUGACACGUUUGAAUAUGAAAAGAGCAAGAAUGUAGAGCUAGUGGAUCUAUUGAAAGCAAAAGAGAAGAAUCUAAUUGCGAUGGCAAGAGAAGUUGAGAUAUUACGGGCCGAAAUUUCGAAUGCUGAGAAAAGAAUAAAUGGUAAGUACUCUGGCUUCAGUCAGUUGUUGUCUCUUCAUAUGAUAUUUCUCUACCUAUGCGUUUCUGAUGCAUUGGUACUGUGUAAACAGCACCAAAUCUGUUUAGAGCAGCUACGCCAGCAGAUGGCAGUGGUCCCUUUCACGAUUCUUACGGGAGAGCUCACGGCCAGAUGGCUAUUGGCCAAGUAGGAGAGUCUAUGGUACCAAUGGGUGACAGCAAUGGAGUUGGAGUUGUAAAUAGUACUGAUGGAAGCGGCGGUGCUGGUUGGGCAGGUCAAUAUGAUCCCUCUGUUGCUGGGAGGUAAUAAUGUUUAAUGAGUGACCAUCAAUCAUAUGCAGCUUGACUUCAGCAUUUGUUGGUACAAUGCACGAGGGAUGUGAUGAUUUUUAUGUAAAUCUCAGAUUGGGCAGCAUUAUUUGUAGCUCAUUUCCUUUAGAUAUUAUACAGUUUUGCAAAUUGUUGAAUUAAAUUUGCAAAUGAGAGCCUGAGAUAUUUUUUCAAAAAAAACUUAUGGUAAAGUCUUGUAACUUGUAAGCAUAUCCAUGUAGUACUAGUAGUGAGCUAUAUGUUGUAUUUUUUUAAUUAAUUUUUAACCUGGAGCAAGCAAUCUUCUUAUGAAACAUGCUUAGGACUUGUUUUUAUCAGAUAAGUAAACUCAAAUAAUCUUUUGCUAAUUUCCAUCACUCCGACAGUAUCAACGCCUAGGAUGAUUGCUAUUGCAAAUCAUUAUGGAUACCAACAAGUAAGCUCAAAUAAUCUUUCCCGACGUAGGUGCAUAUCUGAAUUUUGUUUUUUUUAACUCCAUUAAUACUGUUUCAAAAAUUGCCAACUCGAGUUUAAUUUUCCAUUCAACGUUUGAAUGGAGUUCACUGCAAUUAAAACGAAGAAUGAUGUUCCACCAUGGUAUAAUCAGUGGAUUUUUGGCGAUGUGAGAGAGACUCUCACUUGCUCCAAAGUUCCAUCCUCCUCUUGUUUGGAGAUAUCUCCCCUCCUUUGUGGACGUUUCUUUCGCCAUAGAUUGGGUUUGAUAAAAAAUGAUUCUCUCUUGUCUCCAUUCUUGGUUGUGAGAAGCCAAUCACCAUUUCCAACUCUCUUGCUACCUCUCGAGUCUCGCAUCAUGCCUCCACCAACCACCAGCAACGUUUGCAUUUUCAUUACCAUCAGUGCAUGUUCUCCACCGCCACCAUCACUGGUACAUGAAAACUUCACCAUACCCAUCCCAAGCUAGACACAACAAAGACAAAUUUUCCUACAACCUAUCAACUGCCACUCAGUCACCCAUGUGAGGUUAGCUACCCCAUCCUCUCGGAACAACCACGUUGCCCGCAUCUACUAGCCCCCACAUCCAUGCACUACACCCUUUUGCUCUUGUCCACCGUCUCAAUUCCAACCGCACUGAGACGAUUUAGCAUUUUUCAUUUAAAAAGUUUUAAACCCCUGCAUUGGUUUAUUUGGAUCAACUCGUGCUUCAACUUUUUUAUUUUUAUUUUAAUAAUGUGUUUGGACUUCGUAUCAAAUAGUAUAGUGUGCGUGAAUAAAAUCAUGUGAAAUGCUCAUUCCGGGAAACAAGACAUUUUAUUGAAAAUUACGUUAUUACAAUGUAUUUUUAAUUGAAAUACAUUAUCGAAUACUAAUUAUCAAUAAUUUAAUAUCAUAUAAUAAAAAUGAGGUCGGAAAAACAAUCACCAAAAAUCAUCUAAACGGAAGUCCAAUCCCAAAACAAUAGAGCAAUCAGCUUGUUUUUGCUUUAGGUCAGUGCAGUAGGCCAGCUUAUGAGUAUAAAUUUACUAUUUUAUUGAUUAAUUAAUAGUAAUACUUAUUGUGUUUAGCGUGGGAAAAAGGUACCGAUAUUGUAUUGCUGCUUUUCGCACUCCCUUUUUGAAUGUUUAGAAAAGAGGGCUCAAGAAGCAACCCUCAUUAAUGAAUAGUAAUUGGGCCUCUAAAGGCCCAUGACACCGGCCUUUAUUAUUUAUUUAUAUCAACUAUAAUUUCCCCUUUCCUUACAUUUUGUUGAUUUGUUGAACGAGUCUGUCUCACAGUCAUGGCGGAGGUAAGCUCCUAUUUUCUCCGACUCUAAUCACAACGGAAUUUUUAUUUAUUUUCUAAUUUAAUUUCCAUUUCCCUUUUUACCUUUUCUCUUUUCGCUCUUCAAUUUUGAGGUUUUGCAUAUUCAUCUAUUAUAAAAUGUGUAGUCUCUCGCUGAUCUAUUGAAUGAUUUUGUUGCCGCUGAAUAUUUUUCCUUCCUCUAAGAUUGUGGAUUGCAUGUAAUUUUAUUCUUUACGAGAUGAGAGCUGCAUUUCGUAUUUUUUAAUUUUAAAUUAAUGUGGUUGCUGAUUUUCUUACAAUUCAACCGCUCGAUGUUGCUUGAAUAAAUUAAUAUUAUAGAAGGGGGGAAAAGUGAGAUUGGUGAGGUCGAGAUGGUUUUUGAUCGGUAAUUUUAGGUUAAACUAAUCUUUGGUUUUUGAAUGUUCAAUUAAUCUGGUCUCAAAUAUAAGUUAGAAUUACUUUUUUUUUAACGAUCCAGUUUCUAGGGAAAUGAGGCCUUGGUAAUCUAGAACUCGGCCGGUGGAGCUUAUAUAUAUAUAUUUGGUGGUAUCACUCCUAUUUAAUGAUGUCAUUUCUAAUAGCCCUUCAAUCAAUAUAGGUUUUAUUUUUCAAUGGUUCUUGUAUUCUCAUGGAGUAGGCUCUCAUAAAGGGUACUUUUGAGAAUGAGUUUUUAUUAGAUGAAUAAUAAUAAUUGUAUCUAACUAAAUUUCUAAAGUUCUUUAUAUUGCUUGUAUGUUAAUUAUGAUUUAUUUUACUUAUAUCUUAGUUGUUGCACCCAGAUGGCAUUUAGCAAUUUGAUUGCACUUUUUGAAAUUUGAUCAAGAGGUUUUUGAUUAUCCAUCUGAAGUUGGUUUUGGUUCUGAUGCAACUGGCAACUUUGACCCCCCUAUAACACAAUUUACAUAUGAUUCUUAAUCAAGAUGUGUAUUUUGUCUUUGUUUACAUUUCUUCAUUCAUAUGUAUCGUACAUAUUUAAGAUAUGCUUAUCUUCAUUGCUUAAAACUAUAUGGUAUGAUAAUGAUACAAUAUCCCUUGCUUUCUGCUGAGAUACAUCUUAUCCCAUUUGAGUUUUAAAUUUGAUGUAGCAUUUAUCUUUCCAUCUUGUCCCUUGGUCUUUUUCCUGACUUAAUGUUGUGUUGCUUUCUUCUAGAUUGAGCUAAAAACAGCACCUGUUGAUUUUCGUUUUCCUACAACUAAUCAAACCCGACACUGUUUCACUCGCUACAUAGAGUUUCAUAGGUGGAUUUUCUGACUCUGGCUAUUUGGCUCAACGAAAAUAGUUUGUAAGAGCCUUUUAUUUAAGCUUUACUUUAAUUACAGGUGCACAGCAGCAAAAGGUGAAAACUCAAGUGAAUGUGAGAAGUUUGCCAAAUAUUACCGUUCUCUUUGCCCCGGUGAAUGGGUAAGCAUCCCUUAGCUGAUUGGUUUACUUGGUUGGGACUGACUGCAAAUUUUCCUUAAUGUUAAGAUUGAUGUCAUAGCUAAACUUAUGUGAUUUGUGGUGUACUAGAAAUAUUUUUGUUGCGAUAAAAAUCAACGAACUACCAGUUCGACUCAACUUUUCCUGCAUGUGGAUUACCUUUAUUUACAUAAUCACUAAUCAAUGCAAUUGCCUGUCUAUGUGUUUACAAGAUAGUCUUCAUUGUUUAAUGGAAGUUAUUUUCUGAUAUAUUAUAUAUUGUUCUGGUUUUGUAUUGCUGUUAUGCUAUUUAUUUGUUAGCCCUCUAGGUCAAAGCUAUGCAAGAUUCAUUGUUUUCAUUUUGUGUAGCAAUUAAAACUACUGAAAGAUGUCAUCAUGUUCACAGACUUCAAGCCAUUUACCUUUAAAAAAAUGAAUUUGUAUUUAUGUUGUUGAAAAAGAUGAAACUCGCGCUUCAAAAUAAAAUCAUUCCAUAGUUUAGAUUUAAGAAUCUCUGCUUUGGUGUUUGGCCUGAGAAGCAGUGUUCGAAACAAUUCAAUGCAUAUCCAAAAUCUGAACAAUUAUGUUCAAAGCUAAAAAGUAGGCUUAUAUUUGUAUGACUAAUGGAGUGCAUCUUGUGUAGACUUAUAUUUGGAUGUUGGACACAAUUUUCUUUGUCAACAGACUUAUAUUUGUAUUCAGUAUAUUGACUAAUAAUGGCAUUAUGUUUUCCCUUCCCAGACAUUUAUUUUUAAUGAAGUUGUUAACUUGUUCCAAGAGCCAUAGUUACUUGGAAUUAAUCUUCUUGCUUUGCGCUAAAUUUUGUUACAUAAUUUGAACUAGAGAAAUUGGGUUCAUGAUCUCUCUAUUUUUGUAAUUGAUAUAUUUGCAAAUGUGCCCAUAUAUCAGUCCUUUGUAAAUUAUAAGUAUGAUACAUAAGAUUUAUUGGUCCAUGAUGGUGUUUGAGUUUUUUAGUAGGAUUAGGAUAAUGAAUUUGCUUGAAAUAUAUAGCUUAUUUAUGAAAAAAGCCUAUUCUUCUACUUAUCAGUUAUCUCUUAACAUAUACUCAAGGCAACAUACAUGACAAGAGUUAUUACCCCGGUGCUAAUAUAUUCUUCCUAGUUGUGCAAACAACAAAUUUUAUCACAAAUUUUAAAUUCUGGUAUUGUACCACGUGAGGUGGUUAGUUAUCCUCAUACCAUUAUAAAACAUUAUACUGAAGUUUUCCGUUUAAUGCAAAUUGUUGCAGGUUGACAAGUGGAAUGAACAGAGGGACAACGGGACUUUUCCGGGACCUCUUUGAAAGCAUGUGUCUGGGAUACCCUUCUGAGGCAUACGAAAAUUCUUGAACAUUCAGUUUAUUUUCUUUAAUGCAUUUCAUUAUCUUCACCUAAUCAUGGUGGAUCAAUAAGAUAGUUUAUGAAUAUUCAUUACUCCACAAAUUCCUGAAGUCAUUUUGCGUUUUGAGCUAAUCUAAUGGCUCUGAUAUUUUAUUUUGUUUGUGCAGAAGAUUGAAUUUAAUCUAUAAAUAAUUUUGUCAGACCAUCCCCCCAAACUAACCCCAACACUUUUCCUCCCUCUUUUUGAUAAAAUAACCGUUAAUUAAAAUUAUAGCAAAAAAUAACUUCUGCUGAAGGUUUGCAAAAUCGAACAUCAUAUUUUUGGUGCUGAAAUUGGGCAAACAAAUCCUAGGUUGGGUGUUUUUUUUCGUUUUGGUUGAAUCGAGUAUACAAAGUCUAAUGAUGUUAGGAAAAGAUACGUAGUCGUUUUUGAUAGGAAAUUUUAAUCUGUAAGGAAAUCGAGUCUCUUUGAAAUUAAAUUUGAACAAGUAUAUAUGUAUUUAAAUUUUUUAAGUUCAUAUUUUUUGAUUUGGUCCUUUUUUAAGUUAUACCAUAUUUGUAAUGUUAGUCUUUUAUUUUAUUUUCAAUUAUUAAUGCAAUUGAAAAAUUUUAAUUAUUAAAAUUUCUAUCAAAUAUUACAACAAAUAUUUAUAGUCUUAAAAAUAUAAUAAUAAUGAUUUAUUCACAUAAUCAAUGCUAUUAAAGUCUUCCACUUGAAAAGAUAAUUAACUUAUUGCAAUGUUAUAAUUUAGAUUUUAACAUUUUACUAUAAUAAUUUGAGAAAAAACUCAAACUUAAAAGAUUACUUGUGUGAUUUAAUAAAAUUUAAAGGUUAAAGGUGUAUUAAAAAAAAUUUAAAAAAAAUUAAGCACUUAAUAAAAAAUUAAUCUAAACUUAGAAGACUUUCAAUUACAUUUCAUCCUUUAUAGAGCACUAAUUAAUCUUCAAAUAUAUUAUAUAAAAACUUACUAGUUAAUCUCUUAUGCAUUGAGUCAGAAUAAACAAUCAAUUCCUAUAACAAACAUAUUAUAAAAAUAAUGUCAUUCCAUGGUAUCAAAGCACCAUAUGUCCAUCACAUUGUUUCAGUGGGUACAUCGUUCACCUAUACCAUUAGACAUGUUCCAUAAUUGACAUUUGACAAACCUCACUUGUCACUGGUUAUUGAUAACAAUGCAUAGGAAGACUAUUAUUUAUUCAUUUAUUUAUUUUUUUUCAUAUAAGAGAUGUAAGAUUUUGAGACAAACGGUCUAACUUAACCAUAUACUAGACUAUUGUAUUUUAUAAACUAAACUACUUUUGUUUUUGUUAAAAAAUAAACUUUAUGAAAAGUUGUAAAGAGUUAUACUAAGCCCUGUUUUAUUAAAUUGUGUAAUAAUUAUAUAUAUGAAAAUUGUGAUAAAUUAUAUUAAAUUAUAUUUUAUUUAAAAUAAUAAUAAAUAUCAUAAUAUUUAAUUCACACAAAUACAAAAAAAUUAAAUUUAAAUAAAAUGUUUAUUAAGCGAGGUAUCCCAUUCUAAUAGCUUAAUUUAUACUUUAUCAUUUCUUUUAACAAGUUUUAAAAAGCACGACACCUUCUUAUUUUAUACAGUAUAACAAAAAAGUAUGAUACCUUUUAUCAAAGCGAAAAAUAUUUAUCAAUGUCACGUUACUUAUAUAGAAAAAAAUGUCUGACACCCUUUUCCAUAAAAAGUAAAGUAUGAUGCCUUUUCCAUGGUAAUUAAAUUUUAGUAGUAAAUAUGAGAUAUUCAGAAAAAAUAGUAAAAUUACACGAGUUCAAUAAUUUUUUUGUCUUAAUAAAUGUAUUAAAUUUUAUUUGUUAAAAAAAUUCUUCAAGCUUUCUUCUCUCAAGUAUUGGUUUAAUGUCAAAUUUAACCAUCACAUUUUAAUGAAAUUUUAUAUGGUAAGUUUCAAUUAAUUUUUUUUUAAUGUAUCAUUGCUAAUACUUUGAAAUAUUAUUAAAAUGAUAUAACUAUUUAAUCUUUAUUAACAUAUAUAUCUAUAUCUCUAAAUUACGGAUUGAAUAGUUAAAUUAAAUGGUUGUGAUAUCAAGUUAUUGAUUUUUAAGAAAUAUUUAAAUGAUUGUGCUAUCAAAUUAAAUACUUUUUGACAAUGACAUCUAUACAAAAAGUCUCUUAUCACUUACCACUGGACUUUUACCGAAAAUAGUAAUUAAAAUUGAUUAUAGAAAAUAUUUAGAAGACAAAAUUUUUUAAAAUAAAUUUGUAAAGACUAAAUAAAAAUCUAAGGUGAUGAUUAGAUUGAACCACCGUCCAUUCACUAUAAUUUGUUUACAUAAAAAAAAAACUUGUUUUUAAUUCAUUUAUAAAAUAGUUAUAUUGAUGGAAAAAUUAUUUAAUUAUAAUAGCUAAUUUUUUCCUUAAAAGAAAAAUAGUCAAAUUUUAAAAAAUCAACGGAAUGGAAAAAGAUAAAAUUUUAUUUAUAAUAGUGUUGGGAGGGAGUAUAAAUGUGAAACACUAUAAAAGAGACGUUAAAAUUUUGUUUAUAACAGCGCGACGUGAAAUACAGAAGAAACGCGUUAAAAUCUUAACGUACGUUGGAAAUAAAUGAUUAAUUGUUCUUAAUAUGAAUUUUUUCCCUUGUUGGCAAUUUCCGUGUUCCGUUUAACUUACGUGUUUCUUCUCAACAGUCAAAACAAACACCAACAACAAUUUUACAUUUCUUAUAAAAUCCUCUUUCUCUCUUUCUCUCUCUCUCUCUCUACUUUUAAUUUUCAUAUUCACAUUCUCACAUUCUCAUCAUCUCAAUCACCAUGGUUCGAUUCACCAACUCCUUAAUCGGUUUCCUAAACUUUCUAACCCUAAUUUGUUCAAUUCCAAUUCUGGUAAUGGGUGUAUGGCUAAGCAAACAAGCCAACACAGAAUGCGAAAGGUGGUUAGAAAAACCCGUAAUUGCCCUCGGUGUUUUCCUCUUAGUUGUUUCUCUUAUGGGUCUAAUCGGUGCUUGUUGUCGUGUCUCAUGGCUUCUCUGGUUCUAUCUUCUUGUCAUGUUCUUGCUCAUCGUUCUUCUCUUUGCAUUCACAAUCUUCGCUUUCGUUGUUACUAACAAAGGCGCUGGUGAAGUUUUGGCGAAUAAAGGUUAUAAGGAGUAUAGGCUUGGUGAUUAUUCUAAUUGGUUGCAGAAUAGGGUUAAUAAUAACAACAAUUGGAACAGGAUUAAGAGUUGUUUGCAAUCUGGAAAGCUAUGCUCUCAAUUUCAUUCACAAUUUCUUAAUGAUAACGUUAAUAAAUUCUACACCGAGCAAUUGUCUGCUCUUCAGGUUAGGAUUCUGUUUUUUUUUUAUUUAUGGAAUUUAUAUUGUUGGUGUUGAUUGGUUUUAUGGGUUCUUGUCAAAAUUUGAGCUUGCAUCGUGUGAUUUAUAUUUGGGGUUUAAAUUUUGAGGAAAUAAAAUAUUAGGGUUGAAAAUUUGAAUUUAAAAUGUUGAUUUGUUUUUUGUUUUACAUUUGCUUGUUUUCCCAAGCCAUAAACUUUUAAUUGGGUUUCGGUAAAAAUAUUUUCAAAGCUUAUUUAUUGCAAAAGUAAGCAUUAUUCUUCUGGUGUUCAGCUGGAAUUUUAGGUGGUAAGGAAUGUUAAUUUUUAGAUGUUCAGAUUUUGUAAUAGUAAAAUUGUAAUUUAGUUCAUGUUUUGUAUAGAAAAAAAGUAGUAAUUACAAAGUUUUUUAUUAUAUAUUUUUUUAUGGAACAAAAUUUCUGAGUAUGUUAUCAUCAAAAAAUUUCUGAUUAUGUUAUCAUGCAAAAAUUUCACGUGAUAGUAUAUAACUAUAAUGCAUUCUUGUGGUUGUAUAGGAAUUAGAUUAAAUUUAUGAGAUUCUGCUACUUUAUGAGUACUUUUUUGCUGAGUAGUCAGGGUUUCUUCUUGAAAAGUGUAGCUUUUUUAAACUGGGAUUGCUUUUCGUCUGAAAAGGCUUCGUUCUUAUUUUAUUUUGCUUUUUUCCAAUGCAUCUUUUAUCGGACUUUGUGGCCAUCCUUUUUUCUUCUCAUGGAUGCUAGUGCUGCUGGGCUAAAAGUUGAUCACUUUUUUCAAUGUGGACUUCUUUUUGUCAAUAACUAAGCACUGGUUUCCUGUAGCAUUUCCAUACUUUAAAUGAAUAUAAUUUGCCUCACAAUAUCUGUGCUAUCAAAUGGUCAAAAAUUUGUACUUUUUCUUCAAAGGACAUAUAAGAAUCUUCCUGCAUGUCGUUUGAAUAAGAGGGAGUAAACUGUAGCUGUAGGUUUUCUAUGUAUCUUUGAGGACUAAAAAGACUAAGUUUUCAAUGUAUUUGAACAAGUGCAGUAAACUGCAACUAGUGAAAUGUUUAUUUUCCUAUCCAAGCUCAUGUUUGCAUUUGGCCUACAUUUGUGAUAUAUCUUGGAUUUAAGCCACCUGCGAGGAUAUCUAAACCUUUAUUUAGUGAUCAGCUCAUAGCUGAUAAAUUCAGAUCUUUGCAUCCAUACACCAAUUACUUAAAAAGCAUGACAAAUUCUUCACACACCUACCUGAGCGCAAGUUAUUUUGACUGCUUAACUUGACAGCAUAUUUUACUAUUGAAUUUCUGCGUGACACACAAGUACUGGUGAUUAUAGUGUUGUGUCAUGUUAUUUACUUUCUCUGUUACGGUAUUUUUCUAGUUUGAGUUCUAUGGUUUAUUUUUUAUGCUCAACUUUCACAUUGAAAGAACAUGGCACUUUACAUAUUGUAUUUUGUUUGCUGGCACGUGGAUUUGGAUUCUCUUGUAUCAAAAUAUCACAUGGCAUGACCAUGUAAAAUUUGUAUCUCUCUAUUUGUAAAUAUCAAUGAAGUUUGAUAAAGUCAUCUAUUUAAUACUCAUUAGAAGAGCGAUACACAAAUUUCAUAAGACAAGGUAAUGUGAGAUUUUAACGGCAGAUCAAAUUAUUCAAUGACUUUAACUUCAUUCCCCUCUGCUUAAGGCAGAGGUUCUGCAUUUACAUUGUUUUGGGGAUAAAAUUUCACCUAGGAUUGGAAUUCACUCUUAAAAAACUACUUAUACCAUUCCAUGAUUUCAAAGAAAUGAUUCUAGAAUUUUGAUGUCAUGAAGUCUGACUUUUAUCCACAUGUUUUGUGCAGUCUGGAUGUUGUAAGCCGUCAACCGACUGUGGUUUUAUAUAUGAGAACCCAACAACCUGGACGAAGCCGGCAAAUGCUCCUAAUACUACCAACCCUGAUUGCGAUGCUUGGAAUAACGAUCCAACCAUUCUGUGCUUCAAUUGCCAAUCAUGCAAGGCUGGUUUACUGCAAAACCUCAAGACUGAUUGGAAGAAGGUGUCUAUUGUCAACAUCAUAUUCCUCAUUUUCCUCAUCAUUGUCUACUCCAUUGGUUGCUGUGCAUUCAGGAAUAACAGGAGGGACAAUUGGAAGAGAUAUUAGCCUCAUAAAUAAUUAAUCAUUCACUAUUAUUAGCAUGUAUAUGAUUUUAGGCCGUUUGGUUUAUAUGCUGCUAUUUUCGUGUGGGUUCUUUUGUUUAUUUUCUGGAUUUCGUACUUUUUUCAGUACAGUUUGACUAUGUUGUGUAAAUUGCUCAAUUUUAUAUUACAGUUCUUAGCAUCACCCAUCUCUAUUUAGAUAUGACUUAAUUUGGUCACACCUUAUACUGCCUAGAUGGACUAAGUUAAUAUGAAUCAAAUGAAGUCAUAAUUUUGUAACAUAAAUCAUAUCUCUUGCCAAACAAUUUACCUCUAAUAAUUUCUUAACAAUGUAAUUAAAUAUUUCUUAAUUAACUAGCCACUUGAUCUUAUUCCUAUCGCUCAUGUUGCCUCCAUCACGCAUCCCUUUAAAAAAGUCGAAUCUAACUAAAGAUGAAUUAGACGAAAUCAAAAAGAGGUGGACAUGGCCCCGAUCCCAAAAAAAAACUGAAAUAUGAUUGUCAUAAUAAAUUAUUAUUUGAUUUUAAUUCUUUAAUUUUUAGGAAAAAUAAAUUUUCAGUAAUUCAAAAUAUAGUCAGAAAAUAAAGUAAAUCUAAUUAAAAAUUAUUUCAACUAGAAUUUAAAUUCAAAUAAUUUAUUUUUAAAUAAAAUUCAUUCACCAAUUGAGGCGAAUCAUCGUUUGAUUAUUGUCAUAAUGAUUUAAUAUAUAUUACAUUUUUAAAAAAUAUUUAUAAAAUAGUUGCGUAACCUUCCAUCUCAUAGUGUUUUGGAUAUAUCCCUAAUUCCAACAUAUAUCAUCUAAUAUAUAUCAGAUCAUCUAUUGUGUCCCCCUAGAGUAAAAAGAAAAUCCCUUGUCCUCGUCAUCUAAUCUCAGAGUAAUUGUGGCCUCAUGCAUAUCGUUGAUAGUCAAAUAUUUCUUCAUACAUAUCGUUAAUUGUGGUCAUACAAAUCGCUUUCUUUUCUUGAGACAAAAUAUUUCUUCACAUCUUAUUACGCAGCUUCUUUUAAUUAAUAGAAAUCAUCGUUAAAUAAAUUUUUAGUGGUAAUAAAAUUUUGAAAUUUCAUUUAUAUUUAUGUAAAAAAGUAUAAUAUGUUUUAAUUUCUACAAAAUUAUUCUAUAAAUUGUUUUAAUUUUUGGUGAAAUUAAAUAUAUUUUAAUUUUUAAAUAAUUUUUAACAAAUAUAUAUAAAAAUAUUAUUAAAAGUUUAACUGCACAAAUAAAUAGUUUUUUAAUUUAAAAUAAAAUAAAUAUGAAUUUAUAGAAAACUAUAUGAUAAUUUUUAUUUUUUUUAAAUAUGGAUCUAAAUAUCAACUGUUGAACUCAUUAUUUAUAAAACAAUCAUUGAUUUUUUAAUAUAAACUAAAACUGUUGGUAUUAUAAUAAAUUUGUAGCGACUAAUAAUUUUGAAAUAUAAUUUAUCAAGUAUUGUGACAUUGGUCAUGGCAAAGGCAUAAAACCAAAUUGUCCGGUGCUGAAAAUUCUUCUCCACUUAAUUAAUCCUUUGUCUAAAGGAAAAUGAUAGGCAUUGUGAAUCUAUUAAAAAAGCAAUUUAUUGUAUUAAAUUUUGAAUAUAUAAAAAGUAUUUUAAAUUCUGCCAGCCAUUCAAAUUAUGGACGGGACAUGAGUUGUAGCUGCCCUUGGAUCCCACUAAAUCAUAAAAGAGAAUAUUCAUGCACUUGUUAAAGAUAUUUUAGUACAAAUAUUAUUAUCUUCUUUUAAUUUAUACACAUUUUUUUUAACAUGUGAAAUAAUCUGUCUGAGUUAUUCACUGUGGAGUUAAGAUAAUUUAGUACAUUGCUAUAAUUUUAAAGUGUUUUUGAAUGUAAUAAAAAGUAUUUGUACCCACUAUUCAUUAUUAAAUUUAUAUUCCCAAAAAUUAAAGAAAUUGAAAUGAUGGAUCCAACAACUUGCAGAAAAAACGAUCCGAAACCAAAAAACUUCGUUGUUGUAUCUCACAACAGAUGUAAAAAUAAAAAAAAGUUCCAUUGCCGGGAAUCGAACCCGGGUCUCCUGGGUGAAAGCCAGAUAUCCUAACCGCUGGACGACAAUGGAUGUUUUUGUUAUAGAGACUCUUUGUAUUAUACAUAACGAAUAACAAUAAACCUCUACGAUUGCAAUUUCUUUGUGCAUUUUGGUUGCUUUUAGUAACUAUGCAUGCUUACUUUAGUAUAUAAACCAAGUUGCAUGUUAAAAUAAAAUGUUUUUGUACUAGUUUUAUUGAAAUUUUGUGAGUUUGAUGGUCUUUUUUCUACUUGUGAGAACAUUUUGAAACUAAAAUGUGUAGACUAAGUUGCAUGAAUGAUUUAGGCUUCAAAAGUGUGCACUGAAAAAUUACAUUGAAAUGAGUAAGCAACAUAACUUACGAAAUUUUACUUAUAUUUACCCUGAUUUCUUAGGACUUCUGACAAAAGAGGAAAGUCAAAUUGUGGGAAGGCAAAAGAGGAUGUUCACCAGAUUUCAGACACUCAAACCAGGUUUAAUUCAUCUUCAAAUGUCACUUGAAAACCUCUCUUCGUGGUGGCCUUUUUAAAUGCAAUGUCGAUGAUGUUAUUCAGGUAUUGGUAUGUGUGUGAGGAAUACUGAAAACCAUUUUGCUAUGGGGAGAAUGGAUUGAAAACUAUGAGUAAACAAGCUGCAAGAGUCUGGGGCUUGGGAUCUCUUUCAUGUGCUACAAUGUAUACAAAUGUCAUAUUUCAACUAGAUUUGUAUACAAAUUGAACAAAAUAUUAGAUUGUAGAACCAUUUUAUCAAUGUACAAAAUAUCAUAUUUUGACAAAAUUGUCUAUCAAUUAUGUUCGUUGUAGUUAUUUUUCCUAUCCCCUACUUAUAUCUUGAAUUUCAUUAAUAUUAACGAGAGAAAUUGGUUUGAGUCAACAAAAAUAAAAUAAAAUGAAAUUAACUCUUACUUUUUCCAAGCCAUUUUAUCAUCACUUCUUCUCAAUUUCUAAUUAUCUAUUGAAAAUAUUUUUGGUUUUUAUUUUUUAAAGUUUGUGUUUACUUUUAAUUGUCAAAGAUGAGAUAAAACAUGUAAUAAAUACUUGUGAUUGAGAUAAGAGAAAGUAAGAUAAGAAGCAUGCAUUUUUAAAAACAAUGUUUUUAUAUUUUCAACUUUUGAAAAUAUGCUAAACCUGUUUUAAAAAAUUGUAAAAGAAAAUGUUUGUGAAGAAAAAAUUGAAACUUAUUUUUUUUAUAUAUAUUUAUUAAUUGAAGUUAAAAUAAAAACAAAAAACAUGAAUGUUCUUGAACUUGCUAGUUGAUUCUGUUUUGGUUUCUUCAUUUUGGAAGUGAUCAAGUUUCACCAAAACUAUAAUUAGUAUAGUGAUUAGUGCUCCAUCUUGGUCUCUACUACAUGUUUUGACUUCUCUUCAAGAAACGGUUCUUCCAAAUCUAUCCUAUUAUUGUUUGUCUCAUCAUCCUGAAUGUUUGAUUGUAGUUGCUUCUCAUCAAAGUCUUUGGCUUUACCCCAUAAGACAAUAUACAAACCACUGAUCACUCCAACACCACCUAUCAAACUGAAAUAUUCAAUGAUGCAUGUGAGUAGGCCACACAAAUAAAUAACAAAAGUAUAUAAUAUAAAAUAUUAAUCAUGCAAUUAUGCAUACACGAUCAAAAUUAGAUUUAAGAGCAUUUUUUAAAAGGGUGUCUUAUUUAAUUUGUAUAAUGAUUGUUUCAGUCAAGUUCAAACUUGGAGACUCACAACCAAUGAAUUCUUAACUAGAGUUUAUUAACUAGAGUUUAACAGUUCAUAUUGUCAGAAUUAACUUUUCACUCCUCCUACUUUUCAUGCUCUUAAUUACUAUUUUGAGUUCAUGAACAAGAUAGGAGAAAAAGAGUAGUGUAUUACCUUCCAACAUAUAGCUCUUCUUGUAGGAAUGUAGCAGUUACCAAAGCUGUGAUGACAGUUGCUAAAGGGUUGAACAUUGCACAAUACAGAGGACCUCUUUCUGAGAUGCACCAUGAUUGAAUGAAGAAGCUAACCGCAAUUCCAAUUCCCUAUUUCACAACAAAGAUAUCACUUAAUUUCUAACAUAAUCAGCAUUACACAAUAAUCUAAUUGGAGGAAAUAUUCAUUUUGGUCUCUAAAUGUUGAGAAAGUGUCAAUAUAAUGUCUGAGUGUAUCGGAACUUCAAAUACAUUUCUAAAUAUGUCUUUCGUUAGUAAUUUUAUAGAACAAAUUGACAAACAAAAGACACAUUUAUAAUUUUUUUUUAAUUUUGAUACACUCAAAGACUAAAGUGACAUCACUGACAUAUUCAAUGACCCAAAUGAUAUGACGGUUUACUCAAUUGAAAUGUUUCUGAGGGGCCUGUGACAGACUUACUGCAUAUAAACUGCAUGAAAUUUGUAAUGGUGAAUGUAAAAUCCAUGCUUGAAGAUCAUGCUCAAAUAGCAGUGCAAAUAUAGCUGACUGUAUUGUAGCAAAGAGACACAUCCAAAAGGUUGACAAUAUAUGAUCUGGACAGGAUGAAGAAAUUGGUACCUAUGUUCAAGUUUAAUGAUAUGUCAAUAAUUAAUGUAAUAUAAUAAGCUUGUCACCCUCAUUAUGUUUUAAUUAAUUAAUUGAUUGAUUAAUUUACCUGCAUGAUCAUCCAACAUGACCAAAAAAUACUACUUGCUAAGAGCAAUAGACAACCCAGCACCCAAUUCUCACUUCCACUUGCAGUCAAAUGUUUGAAAUCAGGAAAGAACACUUCCAUGUGUAACAGCUUAUGUCCUUUCAGAAAUGCCAUUGUUAAUGCUCCACUCACACAACAAAUUGUCCCUAAUAUCUUGGCCAAGUUUCUUAAACUUUUAAGAUCUAUUUUCUCAAAUCUAAUCAUUCAAAAAACCAGAAAUUAAUUAAUGUUAUUGCAUAUUAGGUAAGUCAUUAACAAAACAAAUAUGAGUCUCACUAGCUAGAGGCAUAUUAAUUUAAUAUAAUUUAUUUUGUGCAUCAUAAUUGUAGAGAAAUUAAUUACCCCAAAAUUGCUGCAAAUACAAAAGUUAAUGCAGGUAUCAAAUUACUCAUUGCAGUGGCUGCUGUAGAAGAUGCAUAGAAUAAACCACUAAAAUAUGCAUUCUGAUUUAAUGUAACCCUGCAUUUAAACAAUAUAUAAAAGAAAUUAAGUAAGUUUCAAUAUUAUUAUUUAUUUUUUAAAAAAACUAAAUAGUAAUAGUAGCAUAACAAUCAAAAGUAAUUUGGCAAAGUAUACCCAAUAAGAGAGGUCAUAAACAUCAAAGAGAAAUUCUUUAAUCCUAGUGAAGUCUUCAAAGAUUGUCUCCUACAAUCAUUAAAAGCAAACAUAUAUUAUAUAUGUGAGUGGAUGAAUAAGAAGAAGAUUAAGGUUAUUCAAUUAUAUACAUACCUCUUAGGGGAAAAGAUUAUAGGUGCCAAUGCCAAAGUGGCUAUGCCUUGUCUAUACACUACAAAGACUGUAGGAGUCAAUCCAUCUAAUAGAGCAGCUCUUGUAAAGAUGGCAAGCAAUGCAUAAUGAAAUUGUAAUCCUAUCAUAACCAUUAAUGGAAGAUAACCAUCUAAACAACCCAUUUUGAUAUGUUCUCUCGCUUAAACUAUAAAAUAUUUGAUGCACUUGAUAUUUAUAAACACUACAAAUGAAUCAAGGUUGAAACAAAGGAAAAAAAAUACUAUAUUACUUCUUUUGUAAUUUCUACUGGGAUAGGUCUAUCGUUAAUUCAUAUUAAUAUUUAUUUUAAAGGUAUUUUAUAUUGUCAAUUAAUUUUAACCGUUAAGUAUAAUAAUAUUUGACUUUAAUUAUUAUUAUUUUUAAAGCAUCACAUGUAAUUAAUUAUGAUUUGUAUAUUUUGAUUACAUAAAAAUUAAUUGUCUAAUAGUGUACAACUUUUAAAAACCUCAACUUGUGUAAAAAAUAUUAGACAUAAAAGAAAUAGUAUAAUAAAUACUAGAAACAACACUAGUUAACUUUGUUGUUGCAUACUACUCCAUCUGAUUUUAAAUAAAAGAUAAAUUAAAUUAAUAGAAAUUAAUAUAUUUUAUUCAAAAUUUAAACUAAUAUAUUUGUUUUUGUUGACUUUUUUUUUUAUUAGUGAUCAAAGAUCUAGGGAGAUAUGCGGAAAUUAGGAUCCUUGGAAGGAUAAAAUUGACAACCCACGUUUUUGUGGUGCUUUGGAAAAAUGACAAUUAGAAUGUCAUAGAAAAUGUAAGGUGAAUAUUGCCAAAUGGCAUUUGUUGGCGACAAAAUGAUUAUAGAAGAUAGGAUCUCCACGGUGAUGGUGGCCAAUAUUUCAAGUUAAUCUGCCAUUCCAUCGUGUAUAGUGGCUUUAAUUAAAUCAUUGGCUAACUUCCAAAUUCCAAUUAUAGCUCUAUUAGUUUGUUUUUUUUCUUGCGCGGUGGCAGUUUUUAGCAUACCACUUUGUCAGAUCAGAUCCAUUCUUUGGAGACAGAAAAUCAAUAAUAAUAGUAAUAAGUGAUAUUUAAUCAACUUCUAAUAAAUUGAUAUUUUAACAAAAAGAUAAACAAUAGGAACACACCAUUUCUAAUUUAUUAUAUUUUUUAAUAUAUUGUAUUUAAUUAGUUAAAAUUUACAUCAAUUUUAUUAAAAUAUAUAAGUUUCAUAAAAAAAUUAGUGCAACUCAAAUGUAUUUUAAUUAAUAAAAAAAUAUGUUAAAAAAUUGUAUCAAUUGGCUGGGGUCUGUAAUUAUAAUACGAUGGAUAAUGAAGAUGAUGUUUGUAAUGUCAAACAAAAUCACACUGGUGAGGAUUAAGGAAACUACUACUACUACUACUACUACUAUUAUUAUUAUUAUUAUUAUUAUUAUUAUUAUUAUUAUUAUAUCAGAUGUAUCACAGUAGUUUUGACACUAUCUCAACCCACACUACUAAGGAGUGUGGAUAUUGAAUGGGACAGAGAAUAAAUAUAAAAAAAGAGAAAAAAAAUAAUAUAAAAAUAAUAUAUAGUAUUUGUGUCAAAUUCUAUACUUGAGAAACAUUUCUAUUUAUUAAUAUUAACUACAAUUUGUUUUAAUAAACACUCUAAUACUUUUGAGUUUUGUUGAAAUGAUAUAAUGUUAUGCUACUUUUUAAUUAUUUAAAUUUUAAACUAAUUUUACUUUAAGGUAUUGAUAUUCUACAAAAUACCGAUAAUUUAUAAGAAGUAUGUUGAUCAUAUGAUCACAUGAAAUGUCAGAUAUAAAGACAACCGAAGAAAGUUGUUCACGAGUUAGCAACCACACCCUUAUUAAAGGAAUCUUAUGCAUGCACAUGGCCAAUGCGUAGGUUGAUUGGUUUGUAGGAUGAAUUUUUCCCGGCAAAUAGAGAAGAUGAUGUAUAUCGAAUUUAUUUGAGACUAAAAAAAGGUUGUGUAAAAUAGUUUUACACCCUUAAUAAAUUAUAUAUUUCAUCCCGUUACACAAUUUCAUUCGAUCAUUAUAGUAAGAUACGAUAAAAGAUAUGGUUCUCAUUGAAUCACAGUGUAAAACUAUAUUAACAUAAUCGACUAUCAACUUGUGCAAUUCGUUAUGGCACAAGAUCCCAGUCUCAAUUUUUUUUUUAUAGGAUACUAUAACUUUUGAAAAAUAGCAUUAAUAUCUUAAUUUUAUAUGAUUAACACUUUGUAGUUUUAUAUUGCACGUGAUUAUGUGGCCGCGUCCUACCAGGAGUCACCACUCACCGUCAAAUGUUAGAAUUUUGAAUUUUGAUGAUAAGAUUUUGUAAUUUUAGAGGUCUGAUUUUUAAAUUUAAACAAAAUCUCCAAAAAUAUUGAAAAGACAAUGUUAAUAGUGCAUGUUCAUUAAUCUCUUAAAAUAUAUGUAAGUAUGAUAAAAUACUAAAAAUUCACAUUAUAGUUAAGACACGCGUGAUUAUAGAUUCUACAAAAAUGAACAUAUGUGAGUGUCACGAGUAUGGACGAUUUUAGUCUCCAGUUAUCAAUCCUAAAUUUGAAUUUGACUUAGUAAUUGUGUCAAACAGUAUUGUGUCGUAGUCGUUCGAUCUGAAUCGACAACUAAGAUUAAUUAACCAUAUAAAAUAAAUUAUAUAAUAUAAAUUGUCUACAUACUCAUAAUAUUUAUAUACUACCUCCUAUCUCAUUUAUAAGAGAAAAUAAAAAGAAAAAACAUUGAAACCAAUGUAUUCAUUAAUUGUUUUAGAGCAUGUUUGAUUUUUUCUUUGUAACACUAAAUGUAAUUUUGUAAUGAGUUCUUUAAAAUAUUAAUUCUACAAUGUUGUUUUACGGCAUGUUUGAUUGUUUAUUUCUAAAUGUUUGACAUUAUGUUUGGGUUCUUUAACAAAUUAAUUUUACAAACUUAAUUUUAAUUCAAAAUUAGGUUUAGUCAAAAGUACAUAAUGAGUACUUUUGAACCUUCAUUUCACAUUUAAAAUUAUAAAAAACUUCAUAUUGAUGUUGCCACUAACUACAAAAUACACCGACCACAAAAUUCACAUUAUAUUAUAAUAAAAUAAAAACAUUUUUUAACAAGUAAACAUUUAAAAGUUCAUUUAAUGAUAUAAUUCAAACAAAUUUUAUUUUAUAAAAUGAAGUUUGUAGAAAAAAAUACUCAAAUUUAAUUUGCAUAAGAAAAACACUUAAUUUUAAGUAAAAGUACAUUAACAAAAUGAAAUUUACUCAAAAAUACAUUUGUCAAGGUUAAUUCAAACGGAUACUUAACUCUUUGAUUAUUUAACUCUUUGAUUAUAAGACAUUACAAACUCUAUAACACUUAAAUAUAAAAAAUAAAUAAAUUUAAAUAACAGUAUAAAAAAAACUUAAACAAUAAAUCCAUCUUAAAGUCGUAAUGUUUUUCAUUACAUAGAAUCAAAAAAAUUCUCAAAAAAUUGUUUGAUAUAUAAGACUGGGGCGAGUAUUUAAUUAAUUAUUUCGAUGAGAAGUCAAAAAUUGUUUUAUUUGUUUCUUUUCGAGUCUAGUCACGUUUUGUUGUAAGUAAUUGCUUUAUUAGUAUGUGUGAUCGUGUUUACAUUGAUCAUGUGGAUUUGUAAAAAGAAUGUCCGUUACUCCUGUAUUUAUUUACCUUUAUAUUGAUCACGUUUCUAGAAAACUAGCUUUCUAUUUCUUCUUUUAUAAAUAGAAUACUAGCUAUUGAACGGAGGUUGAAAAUUAUCAUAAAUAAUAAUAGAAGCCUAUCAAAAUUAUAGGAAAAAAAAAGUCUAUCAAAAUUUAAAGAUAUAUAUUAUGUGCUAUGAUAUAAAUGUUUUAAAAAAAUAAAUUUAAAAUUGAAAUUCUUAAUUCGAAUUUCAGUUAUUUUAAAUUUUUAACUUUUUUAUAUUUAAAAAUUAUAUUUAAUAUAUCUUGAUAAAAAAAUUAUGGGUGAGAUUUUUAAAAUUUUUAAAUAUAUAUAAAAGAUUAUUUAAAAUAUUAAAAUAUAUACUUGAAUUCACUUAAUAACAAAGACAAUUAAAGACUACAGCUUAUAGAGGAAAAUAGUAUGAGAACUAAAAUUCAAUUUAUGGAAACAAAUAUAUUUUUAAAGAGCUAUAAAAUGAGUUUAAAGUAUCUCUUUAGUAAAAAAUUAGUUGAAUACAAGGUAGGGACAUGAAAUAUUUUAAGGACUAUGACUUUAACUUACAAAAUCAUCAAAGAAAGGCUAAUAUUGUAGCAAAUGUUUAAGAAUAUCUUACCUUAAACGAAUUAGUCAGUAUCCAAAUUCAAAUCUCUAAAUUGUUUGAUAUGCUCUUGCUUGUUCAUCAUCAUUGCAAACAUCUGCAACAUCUGUAAGAAUCCAUAAUCCAAGUUUAAUUUUUACAUGUAAAAUUUAUGAAAUUAUCAUUACAAAUAAUAUAGAUAUAUCUAAUGCAAUUGUAGUUGAAUAUUUAUAAUUUUUCUUCUCUUUGUUUUAGACUUUCUCUUGAACGAUCUCUUUCGAAGAAUCUGUAAUUUUAUUUAUGUGUUUCAACUUUUAUAUUGUCACAAUUGUAGCAUAUUAUUUUUUUUCUUUCUAGUCCUUGACUUGCCACGACUUUGUGACUUUUCACGCCUGUGAAAAUAUAUGGUUUGACUUCUUUCUCGUGACUAUGUAACUAGUAGUUCUUACUUAGUGGAACAACGAAUCAAAUCACAUUAUUUUCUUCAAGCUUUUUCAUUUAACAACAAAGACCUCUCAAUUAUCUCACAAGAAAAUUAACAUUAGCAAUACUUGUAACUCAUAAUCCAACUCAAUGUACGUGGUUGCCAACAAAUUCACUGUAUUAUGAAAAAUACUUCACUGUUAUGUCAUUAAAUACUCAUCUUAAAUUUCAUAUUGAUUAACUUUCUAAUAAAAAAAGCUUUAUUUUAUAUAUUUUUACGCACAUACAACUUAGCUAAUUUUUUUCACAUUAUCUCUACAUCUUUUCAGUUUAUGGCUAUAGAUAUACACUUAUAUCUAACCACUAUCUAAUCAAUAAUAUUUUAAAAUUUAUCACUGAGUAAAGAAUUUAUUGGUAAAAUUAUAUAAAUAUUUUUUGUAUAACAUAUCUUCUAUGAGAAUUUUUAAAAAUAUACAAUUAUUAAAAAGUUUAAUCAUAUUUAUAUUUUUAUUUUCCUCCUCCUUUUAAAUGUACAAAUAAAAAAUAAAAACAUAAAUUUGAUGCCUGAAUUUUCUAUUUAUUUCUAUUUUUAGGUGUAGUGUCUGGUUAGCUAACGUUAAGGCCAACACUAACAUCUUCCUUUCAAAAUAUGGGAAAAUUGUUUAUGUUUCUCAUUUUGCUGAAAAUAUAGAAUUUUAUAUGUUUCAGUUUUUUAAAUUGCCAGAAUAUAUGAGAUUUUGUUUUUACCUUACAGGAGUAAAAGUGGAAUUUAUAAAAAUCGUGGGGUUUGAUGUAUAAGUGUGGGGUAUGUAUUAGAUUUUUAUUGGUAUUUAUAAAUCUUUAUUUUUAUUAAAACUUUAAAAUGAAUGUGGAUCGAAGGCCCGAAAUAACUAAUAUAUGUGCUUGAAUGUUCAUCGACCUCUUUCGUUUUUGUUUCUCUUUUUUCAAAUAUAUUAUAAAAAAUUAAGAUUUGGAUUUUGUAUUAUUAAAAAAAAUAAAAUCGAAUAAACAACUAGAAAAAUGGAAAUUUAGAUAAGCAUUCAAGAGGCCCAAUAAGGAGUGCACCUAUGAUAAUUGAUAGCACUACUAGGUGCAAGGAAGAAAUAUUGUAGGGAGUGCAUAAGAAAUAUUGUGGCACCUAUUCCCUCUCUUCUUGUUUCCUCUUUUCCCUUCUUUCAUCUCUUUUUUUUUUUCCCUUCAUUUUAUGAGAUAUCAUACUGUUCUGCUACAUUGCGUCAUCCCCCCCUCUUUCUUCCUUUCAUUCGUUAUUUUAUUUUAUUUUUUAACAAUUGGGUUUUAAGUAAAGGGGAGUGUGAUGGAAAUUGUCAAUUACACCUUUCCAAAUUCUUACAAAUGACAAAUUUUAUUUUGACUACAAAAUGGGCUACUAGAAGUUGAAUUUGAGGUUUCUAUUGGGUUUAUUUCCAAAUCAUUCCCCAACUAUAAAAAAACAUAUUAUUUUUUAACUUCCUAAAUUAAACUUCACUUGAAUAACUAACAAUUAAUUUAAAAAAAAAAAUAAGAUUUAAGAGAUUUAUAUAUAUGAAUUACGACAAUAAAAUAUAAAUAAUAGAAUUAUUAGUAUAAAUAAAAAUAAAUGGAAUAUACAAUUAUUUUUUGGGUGUUACAUUAUUCAAAAUAAUUUAUCAUUUUAAACAGUUUUUAUAUUAUUUUUAAAUUUUGAUAUUUCUAAAGACAGUAACAAACAGAUUAAAACUUUGAAAAGUUAUUUAAUUUUUAAAAAUAUUGAUUAUUUUUAAAAAUAAUCAAUAACAAAUAGCACAAAUCAAAAUCCAGAAAAUGACUGAAAAAGGACCAUCUUCAAUCCAAAUACUAUCUUUAUUACCUAAAGCCCAUUUUGUUUUGUUUCUUUUAAAUAAUAAAGAUCAUUUAUUAGGAAAAAAAAAUUCUUACCCUUAAAUUUUUGUAAGAAUCUAUAAAAAAUUUCAAAUUAACUAAUUCAGAUUAAUAUUUGACACGUGUUUGAUUGGUUAUUUCAAACAUAUAUUUUUUUAUGUAUUUAAAAAAUUGAAAAAUGAAAAAGAAAAUAAAAAACAUAAUUUUAUUAAAUUAUAGUUCAUUUAGAGAGUUUCUUCAUUAUGGAACAAAGGCCAUUUUUUAUUUGGCAAUGCGGGUCUUUAUAUCACUUAACAUCUCCGAUUCUUGGGGAGGCAACUUUUCUUUUAGUCCUCAACUUAAUGUUCGAACAUUUUGUGUGAUCAAUUUUUUUUAGUAGAGGGUGCAUCCAAAUUAUGAAAGCAAAAUUAUUAUUAUUAUUUUUUUUAUAACAGGAAGCAAAAUUAGCUUUGAUCGCUCAACAAUUAUAGAUCCCAAAUAAUUUUUUUACGUAAAAAGUUUAAGUUUCAGUUUUCAUAUGUAUUGUGUAUAUUUUUGUUUCAUUCAUGUUAAAUAAUUAGGCGUUACAACACUGCUAUGAGCAAGUACAUCUAGGACAAGAAGAACACUUGUUGCACCUUUUUGCAGAAAGCACAUCAUGUUUAUGAGAUAAAUAAUUAACACUAGAUAACCAUUCAAUCACUCAUUCACAUUUUUCAUACAACACAAAAUCAAGAGCGCUAUGAUUUUACAAAAGAACAUUUUGGUUAUUCUCUUUUAAAGACAUAAUUAAAAUAGAUUAUUUUUCAUAGUCCAAACCACAAAUUAGAGAAUAUCAAGACCGCUCAAAUCAAUGGUCAAAUCCAUAAAUCAAGCUGAAUGCUUAAAAGAGGAAAAUUACAUCAGACUAGUGACAAGAUUGAUCUCGAAAUUGAUGAAUUGUGAGCAAUAACGCAAAUACAUUGUAUUUACAUUAUUCUACAUAAAGCUCUGCAUAAUUCUAAUUUGAAAUAAAAUACCAACUAACAUUUUACAACUCAUUACCUUACUCAUUCACGUUAACCAUCAAACUCAAAAGCAAGAACAUUCUACGUUUGUUAAAAACGUUAUGGACAAAAAUAUAAAUAUGUGUUUAAUUGCUUUAAAAUAGAUAUGACAUUUGGGAAGUGUGUCCAACAACUAUAUUCAAUUUAAAUUGAAUAUUCAAAACCUUUUACAAAUCUACCAACACUUAUUCAUGUAAUAACAAGUCAAAAAUUCUUCAAACAAAUUUCAACUCUCUUCACUAUAUUUGUGGAUCAUCAUUUACUAAAUUUGUCUUUAUUUAUCUUAAACAAGUUUUGAGAAGUUUCAAGAUUCCAAACACUUUUAUCAUACAUAUCAUUUGUAACACAAAUCUUUCUUGUAUGUUUUAUUGAAUGUGUUUGUAAAAAACGUUUCUAGAUUGAAAGGUGAUUGUAAAAAUUCUUUACAGGGUGAAAGAUGAAAAUUAUAAUUGAUCAACGUGUGAUCAAGAGAAAAUGUGCGAAUGAGAAUAAUUUGGUUCUGAAGCACAUAAUGAAAAUAUCACAGUUGUGAUGACUGAACUAUUCUGAGUUGGGUGAACCAAUAUACUUUUUAUGUGUGAUCUUUUUAUCUCUUAUAUUUAAUUAUUUGCACACACAAAUACACUUUAUUAUAAAUUAAUUUAUUUUAUUUCUAACAUAUUCAUAUUAUGAACAUGUUGUUUCAAUGACGAUUGAUCUUAAAUUAAUUUAAAUUAAAUACAAAAAUUAAAAUAUUAAAAAAAUUACAAUUUAACAUUCAUUUUUUGUGAUUGAUAUUACUACUUCAGUUACUUAUGAGUCCAGGUUUUAUAGCUCUUAAUUGUGACACUAUCAGUAACUAAUUUUGGUAUACAGUAACCUUUGUGGUCUACUUCGAGAUUAUCAAGGUCAUUAUAUUGUUGGUUGUGUUGUUCGCUCGAGUAGAUGUUUUGUCGUAUACUCAGAGCUUUGGGAAAUUUAUCAUGGGCUAAAGUUAGUUUGGAAUUGAGAAUUUUGCCAUAUAAUCGUUAAUAGUAACUCAAAAAAUGUUUUGGGUUCACUAGAGGAUGGUUAUCCCAUAAGUCGCUUUUAUAUUGCUCUUAUUAUUGUAAUUCACAAUAUCUUUCGAUAUUAACGAAUAACAAUUUGGUGGCAUGUGUUUCAUGAAGCUAAUCAAGUAGCAUACCAUUUUGCUAAGAAUAGUCUAACAAUUUGGUGGCAUGUUUUCAUGAAUCUAGUCAAGUGGCAUACAAUUUUGCUAAGUAUAGUCUACAGUUAGAUGACCUAGUUAAUUUUUUAAUCUUCUUUUGGGUCCAUUUUGAAAAUCUUAGUGAUACUUGUUAAUUAGGAAAAUAAAAAUGAAUCUUAAAUGUAAAAUUUUAAUUUUUACAAUUUUAAAAUACAAAUUAUACAAAUUUCAAAAUUUAUUUUUAUAUAGAAUUUUUAGCGGGUGUCCUUAAAGCAGGUAUUAUUAUUUUCAUCAUAAUUGUUAGGGUGUAUUAAACUAAAUAAAAUAAAAUAAUAAAGAGAUAUAACACAUACAACUACCCCUUUGUUUUGGUGCACGUGGCAGUUGAAAAUAAACAUCAUUUCCAAAGAAUAACCAAGUUGAUUCCUUAGUUAGACAGGUAUAAAUAAUCAUAACUCCCCUCUAACUUCAUUAAUAGGCGGCACCAAACUGUGGCAUGACUCGGACCAUUUCCUCUCUUUCAUUCCCACUGGAUUUUUGAAAGAGAAACACUAUACUCUCACAUUCGAUUGAAUUUGCAGACAAUUGCACGUACUCAAUUUACGUUUAAAUUAUCUCUUUACAAUUAAUUAGAUGUUUUAAAUUUUAAUAUAAAUAUUAAAUUUUUAAAAUUUAAAAUCUCAAUCGUUUAACUUAGUUAAACAUUUCAAAACUAAUCAGCUACAUUAAAUUUUGAUUGUUCACAACCGGAAUGCAAUUGGAUUGCCAUUGUACCAUAUCACCCAACUUGCACUUUCUCACACGUCUCGAUAAGCUCGCGUAUAAGGUUUACUAUUAAGUGAUGUUGAUUUUGUUUUUUCACUAUAAAAAACUAAAAGUACUUCUCAUCUGUAUAACAUUUAUAAUUCAUACCAACCGUCCAAAAUUUAAGUUAAAUUGUCAAUAUAAUUUAUUGAUUGAUUUAACAUGUAAAUUCCAGUUCAAAAUACUCACACAAGCUAAUAUUAAUUGCUCCCGUGUUUCCGUGAUGAUUCUACCUGAUCCGAUCCCAAUUGUGUCCUUUAUAUGUUGUCCUCCAAAUAUUAGAGUCGACUAUGAAAUUUUAAAUAUUAUAGAUUGACAAAAAAAAAUAGUGUCUUUCUAACUAUUUCAUCAUUAUUUUUUAAUAUAAUCAAUGUUCAUUAAAAAUUGAUUUCAAUAAAAAUCAAUAGAAAUUAUUUAAUUUAUUUUGUCAUUUAGUAGAUAGUACAUAAGAUUUUCAUAAUUUUAAUUUAAAAAUUUCUUUUUUAUUACACAUGCACCAAUAUCUUAUGAAUUCAUCGAUUAAUAAAUAGUCUAAUAAUAGCAAAAUAUUCGCAAAUAUUCUUUAUAAAUAAUUAUUCAUGAUUUUCUUUAUUUUUAUAGAUAAAAUAAUAAUUUAAUUUUCGUCGAUUUAAUUAAUUUAAGUAUUUUUUCAUUUUAUUAAAUUAAUACCAUUUAAAUAAUUAUUUUAUUUAUAAAAAUAAAAUGACCAUAAUAGUAUGGACGCUAUCCAUAUUAAAAUUCCUCAAUUGUUGUGUUGUGAAACAUGCUAAGGAAAAUAAUCUUACUACAGAUAAAACUUUAACGAACAAGUUUUCCAUUUUAGUGAUUCACUGUUCUUUUAAUUUAUCUCUCUUGAGUUUAUUUGAUUUUAUUUCUCAGAAAAUGUUUUAUUUUCAUAAAGUAAAUCACAAAAGAUUGUUUAGUCAUUUUUACCCUUAAUUGCAUUUUUCUAUUUACUAUUUUUAUCGAUUCAUAAAAUUAAUCAUCUAUUUUAAAAUUUGAUAGUUUUGGUUCAUCUAUUAUAUUUUUAAUUAAAAAAUGAUAAUAUAAUAUAUUUUAAAUAAUCUAACAUACACUCUUAUUAUAUAUAAUCAUCUUGAUAUAUUAAUUAUUUAUGUUGUAAGUUAAAUUAUAAAAAUGAAUAAUUUUAAAAGUUAAAAUUAAAGUUUUUAUAACAAUUUAAUAGAUAUCAAUUAUUUUAUAUUAUUAUAAAAAUUUAUAUUAUAUAUUAUAUCAUUUAAAAAAAGUCAAAAUUAUUUAAUUUUAAAAUAAAAAAAGUCAAUUUGACGACCAUUACCGUAGUUUUACAUAGAGCAAAAUAAUUUAUUAUUCAAAUUUUAUUCUUCCACAGUAUGUCCAACGUCACUAUGAUGGCCACUAACUUUUUUUGCUGUCAUUACCCCCUCACCGUCCUUACUAGCAAUCUACCAUAGUCAUUAAUGCUAUUUCCAUUUUCAAACACAGGCCCCUUACCACUAAUAAACAUGUUUAUAGGAGUAGCACUAGUUUAGUUGUUUCUUAAACUAAAUUAAUACAUGUUAAAUGUGGGUCUCUGAAAAUUUAGGUGUUCUGUGCACCAGUUUGAAUUUCAUAUAUAUUUUUUUUAAGUAGUUAUAUAAUAUAUCUAUCAAUUUAAUCAUUGAUAAAAUGUAUCAAUUUGGAUAUGUAGUAGUUAGAGUUGUCUUAAAUAUUUUAAAAAUUAUAUUUUAAUUUUAAAAAUUGAGUUUAUAAUAAAAAAAAAUACAAUUUUUAUAAUUAAAAAAAUAAUAAAAUAAAAUUUAGUCGCUAUACAAAAAUUCUCAAUUUUUUUAUCUAUAAUUUUUUUAAUUCACUUUUACUCUUUAUUUUAAAAAAAUUCUUUAUACAAAUAUGAUAUUUUUACUCCAUAAAAACGUCUUUAUAAAAUCUAGAUAGAGACUACAAGAAAUGAAUUUAAUUUUGAAAUGUCCCUGUAAAUAAAAAUGUCCCUAUUUUGAAAAUUGUAUUUGUAUAUUUAUGUUGUUAAGAAGUGCCUUUACUUUUACUUUUUCAUGGGGCACAUCUAAUUUUGGACUCUACAAAUUUAGUUAAUAUUGUACAUUUAAGAUUUAUAAAAUGCUUGUAUAUUAAAGAACUUCAAAAGGGCGUUUCAUGAGAUUAAAAUGUUAAUUUUGCAUAUUUUAAUUUGUAAAAGUGGGAUAGAAAAUAUCAAAUAUUAAGGUGUAAAUAAUAUGUAAUGUAAUUAUGAAAAUGAUAGUAACUAAAAAUAUUAAAAAUUAUAUAAUGGCGAAAAUAUAUAGAAAAAAUAAAAAAAAUUUAGGUGUUUUUUUUUGUUUGUAAUACAUGUAACUUAAAAAAAAUAUAGAAAGUUUAAGUUUGCAAAAAAACAUGAAAAAUACGAGAAAGAUAUGUUUCAAAAGUCAUUAUUCUAUGUUAUAGAUCUUACACAAAGUGAGCAAAAUAAUUUCAAAUUAAGCUUAUUACGUAUAACUAACAAUAGUGAAUGUUCCCUGUUUGACUUCUUGUUAUUUUUGCCCAUAAUAUUUGAUGAAAAGCCUCGUAAGUGUUUUGUUUCUGGAAAUUGCAUUUUGCAUACGUUACUAUGGAAAAUGGUGGCCGUUUCUAAAUUGACUUUUUUACAUGAAUCUAUUCAAUUUAAUUUUUUCGUUAGUUUUUCAUGUUAAAUUAAUAGUAUUAAAAAGAAUAUAUUUGAAAAAAAAUAUUUUAAUAAUUUGAAAAUGUAUUUAUAUUUAUGUACAAUUUUUUUAUUUAUAGAUAUUUAUAAUUAUGAAUAGAGAUAAAUAUUAUGUACAUUAUAUUUAUAUUUAUGAUAGUGAAAAUAUAACAAUUGUUUUUUUAUAAAUUAUUAAUAAAGAUAACUUGUUAAAAUGACUAUUUUGAAGAAAAACAACACUAAUUUUGGAGCCGAUAGAGUGCUCCCUUAAAAAGUUAAAAUGAGAUCAUUAAGCUAUGACCACGGGUUCAUUGUGUUUUUCCCCACAAUUUUCCUAAGUUUCAAAUUUUAAUUAUGUUAACUAAAUCUAUUUUUGUUGUUUGAAUCCGCCACAACAACUCCACGGUUUUAAGAAAAACAAUGGGAUUGGUUAAAUAUACAGAGAGUAAUUUUAUCUCUAAAUGCAAUAGGUGGUGUAUAGCUACUUCACCUUGCACACGUAUGCCAACUUUUUUCCUAAAAUAAACCAUACGUUAAAGCAAUUAAUUAUUAUAUCUGUAAAUUAUAAUUUAACUGAUAAAUUGAUAUUAUUAUAGUGAAUAUUACAUCUAAAAUUUAAAGUAGACAUCUCACAAUUAUAUACAAGUUUAUUUACUAUUUCAUUAAUAUAUAUAAAAAAUUUAAUAAAAUACUAACAUGUUAUGUUUUAAAUAUAAAAUUUUUCUAUUAAAAAUAUAUUAAAAAAAUAUGUAUUCAAAACUUUGAAUCAUUCAAUUUUUACUCUUUUCAUAAUAAUAAUUUUUAAAAAUUUCUCAACAAAUACCCUUAUUUGAUUUGUUAUUAUGACUCUUAAAUUUAUUAGUGUUAAAAAAAGACAUAGGUGGGAGCCCACUUUAACUGUACUAGUAUUUGUAUUGGCUACAACUCAACUGCCAAGUCUCAAGACCUAUAAAUAUGUGUGAUGUGAUUGGAAAGCAGAUAUUCAAGUUACAGUUAAAAUCAAACCUAUAGAUAUAAUUUCCCAUUAAGAAGGAAAGAAAGGUAGGGGAGGGGACAAUUUCAUUACAAUCCCAACCUAUCAUACCCAUUGGUUGCUUUGCUCCUCCUUUCUCAUAUAUACCUUUUUGGAUAUAUUUCUCUUGGCAAAUAAAUUUUUUUUUUUACUCUAUUUGUGUUUCAAAUUUCAACCAAUUGCAUAAAAAAACAAGAAAAGAAGUCUAUUACUAGAACAAAGGUACCAUUUAACAAAGGGAAAAUUUAAUUUAGUCUAGUGAUCAGAUCAAAUCAAAUCAAAUGGGUGCUCCUUUAUCAUCUUGGCCAUGGGAGAAUUUGGGAAUAUUCAAGGUACAUAACAAAAUUAUAUUAUUAUGUUUAGUUAUGAUUUGAAUCAUAUAUCAAAUUUGUUUCUUUUUUACUAUGAUAUAAUAAUUUUGUGGUACUGAAAUAUAUAUUUUUUGUUUAGUAUGUGUUAUAUGGGCCAUUGGUGGGGAAAGUGGUGUAUGGAUUGUUGUAUGAAGAGGAACACUCAAACUCCAACCUCAACUGGUGGUGCCUUCAUUUGCUCAUACUAUGUGGUCUAAGAGGUUUAGUACACGUGCUUUGGUGUUCUUAUAGUAACUUGCUUUUUCUUACUAGAAAUCGAAGAAUUCUUCAACAGGGUGUUGAUUUCAAGCAGAUUGACAAAGAAUGGGACUGGUAAUUAAUUAACACAUUUCAUAAUUAAUUGAUUUGUAUAUAUAUUUUUUUUUAAUUUAAGUAUCAGGCUGAACAUGAUGUGGUACAUAUAUAUGUAUGAUUAUUGAUUAUAUUAAAUAAAUUUUUUAUAUUUUUUGAAACAGGGACAAUUUCAUGAUUCUUCAAGCACUUGUUGGUUCAAUAUGUUUUUAUGUCUUUCCCUUUCUUCAACAUCUUCCUCUAUGGAAUGCAAAAGGACUUAUUGCUGCUUUGGUGCUACACGUGGGAGUCUCGGAGCCACUUUAUUAUUGGGUACAUAAGAAAUUUCAUGAAGAUUAUCUUUUCACUCAUUAUCACUCACUUCAUCAUUCAUCUCCGGUGCCGACCCCUCUUACCGGUGAGAUUCACAUAUAACUAACUAUCUUCAAUUCUAUUCUAUAUUUGGAAAUUGGUUGUUCAUAAGAAAAGCUAGUUGCAUAAUUUCUUCCAUUUCAUUAUAUUUUCUAGCUAUUUAAAUAUAUUUUUAUUCUUUAUAAAUAUAUAAAUCUUUAUUUUUUAUCUUUACAUUUUUUUAAUUAUUAAUUUAUUAGUAAUCUGUACAAAAUUUUGCGACAUAAUUAAUUUUAUGUGAAAAUAUCGACCGAUAUUUCAAUUAGGAACAUUAUUUUUUUUUAAAUUACAAAGAUCCAUUUAAUUAUUUAUUUAUUAAAAAUAAAAACCGAAAAAGAAAACAUAUUUGAAACUAUCUUAUUAUAUUCAUGUAAAAUUAGAUGUCAACAUUGUAUUGGUGAUUGAGCAUAUGAUUUGUGUUGUUGCAGCUGAAAACGCAACACUUUUGGAACAUGUUAUUUUGACGGUAGUGAUUGGAAUCCCAAUAAUUGGUGCCUCUAUGAUGGGAUAUGGUUCCGGAAGUUUGGUAUAUAGCUAUGUUUUGAUAUUUGAUUUCCUAAGAUGCUUGGGUCAUUGCAACGUUGAAAUAGUUCCACACAAAUUGUUCGAGGCAUUUCCAUUUCUUAGAUAUGUGAUUUACACACCAACGUAAGUUAAUUUUCGUUACAGCUAAUACACUCUCGAGUAAACUACGUAGUACAACUCAUUACGUGUAACAUUGUUAGAAAUUGAUAGAAGAUAGUAGUUGCUUGCAUUCAUUUCUCUCUCUUUAUUGGUAAGAACAGUGACGUGCAUUUAAUGCGUGCCACCAAAAUGCUAUAUGUGAAGUGUGAACCAUGCUUGAAUAUUGCACCAUAGCAUGUCGGUUUCUUUAAGACUUUGAUACUAUUAGUAUUAGAUUUAACCGUUUUUAUUGAUCUAUCUAUAAUAGUUUCAAGAGAUUCAAUAGAAAAAGGUUUAGUAUUUUUUUAGGUGAAAAUUAUUUUCUUCCUUUUUGAAUUAGACUCAUCUAAAGAAAUUUAAUUUAGUAUAAAAUAAAUGAUAUCAAGUAUUAAUGAAUAAAUCAAUACUUAAUAUUAUAUAUGUAUACAAGAUAAAUUAUAAGUAUGCUUAAAUAUAAACCAUUACGGCAUGUCAACUUAAUAAAAAUAUUUUCUAUAUUUAUUAUUUAAAAUUUAUGUUAAUUUUCGUUCUUAACAAAAAAUAUUUAAGACUUAUAAAAUGACCAAUUAUUUGUAUUUUUGAAAAUAUUGAAAAAUAUUAAAUAACUGUUUUUGUUAUUUUUAUAAAUGCAUCCUUUCUAGUUUGUAUGACAUGUUUUAUCCAUUGCAAUUGUCCAUUUCAUUAAUUUUUAUUUUUUGUAGAAAUUUGACGAGUCAUAUAUUCUCUUAUUAACAAGUUAAAAUUAAUACAAAUUUUAAAAAAUGAAAACUAAUUUUUUUUUCUUAAAAUAAACAAACUCUUAUUGUUUUUUUAAACUAUAAACCAUUAAAUUGAUGGUUGAGCUUUACAACAAAAUUUGUUCUAGAGAAUAGAGUUGUUGAAGUCUAAACAAAUGGACCACAAAAACCAAACUUUUGCAAGUUUGGUUAAUAACUUAAUUAGUUGGAGAUUAUUAAAAAAAAAAAAUAGGACCAAACGAUUAAUAAAUUUUAUCCAGAGCCUAGAUGCUUAUAUUAAAUAUCCCCUGCAUAUAUAGUUUAUCUAGCUUUCAUCUUUUUUCUCUUGAAACCUAUAGGACAGUAGAAUAGCAUUAGAAGAUAGCAUGCAUUUUGGUCCAAUGUGAUUCCAUAACUUCCAUUUACAUCCAUUUGUAUUUAUUUAUCUCUUUUCUAUGCUAUGCAGAUACCACAAUCUACAUCACACUGAAAAGGACACUAAUUUCUGCCUCUUUAUGCCUCUCUUUGACGCAUUAGGCAAUACUCUAAACAAAAAUUCAUGGACAUUACACAAAACAUUAAGUUCAGGGUCAGGUAAAUUGUCCUAUAAUUAAUUACUACUAGUAAUUAAUAUUUUUCAAUUUUUGUGGAAUAUAAUUAGUAAUAUUAAAUGAAUCCUGCAGGAAAUGAUGAUAAGGCACCGCAUUUUGUAUUUCUGGCUCAUAUGGUUGAUCUAUCAUCUUGCAUGCAUGUUCCCUUUGUUUUACGAUCCACUGCUUCACUUCCAUACAAAACAAGACUCUUAUUCCUCCCAGGUUUGCCAUUGACAUUUAUGGUUGUUUUGGCAAUGUGGAUUUGGUCCAAAACCUUUUUACUUAGUUUCUAUUACCUUCGAGGACGACUCCACCAAACGUGGGUUGUUCCGCGAUGUGGCUUUCAGGUGUGUCAUCUAUUUUUAUUUUAUUUUAUUUUUUUAAACCACAAAUAAAUGUUAGUUGUUAUUUUAUAUUUAUUUUAUUUUAUCUUUUAAUAUUCGUAACAGUAUUUCUUGCCAUUUGCUACUGAUGGAAUUAACAAGCAAAUUGAACAAGCUAUCCUUAGGGCUGAUAAAAUGGGGGUUAAAGUCAUUAGCCUUGCUGCAUUAAACAAGGUUAGGCUUAUAUUAUUGAAUUCAUUUAUUUCUUUUCUUAUUUAAUUUCACUAUUAUGAUUAAAUUUGGCAUUUUCUGUGCAUAGUUGUUGAAGUUUUUAAUGCCUUGUAGUUGUAAGGUACAGUACUGAUGAAACUAAAUAUAUUGUAGUUCAUCAUAAUUGCAGCAUUGGUGGACCAAUUUUGUAACUUCUUAACAUUUUACACAUCACAUUAAUAAUCUUUUUCUCUAAUUUUUUUUCCCAAAAAAUGUUUUUAUGUCUAAAAUAACUAUUGUGCCUAAAAGUAUUAGUAUUGGAUAAGUGACUCAUUAACGAAAUUAGAAUAGAUUCUGAUACAAUAUUAAAUUUCGGACCUAAAUUCAAUUUACAGUAAAUAUUGUAUAAAUUUAUGAGGAUGAUUUUUCUAAUUCAGGAAUUCUUAAUAUAUUUUUAUUGAAUACAGAAUGAGUCUCUAAAUGGGGGUGGAAAACUUUUUGUGGACAAGCAUCCAAACCUUAAGGUUAGAGUUGUUCAUGGAAACACUUUAACAGCUGCUGUUAUUCUCAACGAGUUACCACAAGAUGUUGAAGAGGUUUUCCUAACAGGAGCUACUUCCAAACUUGGAAGAGCAAUUGCACUCUACCUUUGCCAAAAGAAAGUUAGAGUUCUGGUAACUUUUCUCCCUCUACCAUUUUCAUUAAUUUUUUUAGAUCACAGUUUCAUUAUUUAAUAAUUGUUUGUGGUCCAUUUCAUAUGUGCAACUCUACUGUUUUAUGUCCUCACAACUUUGCACAAUUAUAUAAGUGUUUGUUUGCUUCUGCAACUCAAACAUUAAUUUUAAAUGAAUUGAGUUUAUUAAAAAGUGAAUUGAUCGUAAAAUUAUUUAUGUUUGAAUUAAUUCGCAUUAAAGUGAAUUAAAAUAUAAAUUUGAAUAUAAAAAUUACGUUUUGAGUCAAAUGCUACAAAUUCUACCGCAAUACCAAGAAGGGGAAGGCAGGGGAACUCUUUGAAUCAAUUAUGUUUAUAAUUUAAUAAAGAUAUAUGAUGUAUACAUAUAGUGGAAUGUAAAUUGAACUUUAUUUAUACUAAUAAUUGAUUCCUAAUUAGAUGUAAAUGCUGAAACUUUGCAGAUGUUAACAAUUUCAAACGACAGAUUUCAAAAGAUUCUAAAGGAAGCCCCUGUUGAAUACCAAAGCUACCUUGUCCAAGUGACAAAAUACCAAGCAGCACAAAACUGCAAGGUACUUUUAUGCGAAUAAUAAUUUAAAAAUCCAAAUGAUUGUGAAGUGUGAACAAUAUAUGAAUAUAAUUAGUUGAGUUAAUACAGACAUGGAUUGUUGGUAAAUGGAUCACUCCAAGAGAACAAAGUUGGGCUCCACGUGGAACCCAUUUUCAUCAAUUUGUUGUCCCACCUAUUUUAUCAUUUAGAAGAGACUGCACUUAUGGUGAUCUUGCUGCCAUGAGAUUGCCCGAAGAUGUGGAAGGUAUUGGCUGUUGUGAGGUAAACAAUCAAUUUCAUUAAUAUCUUUCUCAUCUUGUUUUCUCUAAAUUCAAUUCCAUUUAAUUUAUAUAUACAAUAUUUGAAUUUAGUUGAUAGUGUAAAUUUUUGUGGCAUUUUAGUACACAAUGGACAGAGGAGUUGUUCAUGCAUGCCAUGCAGGAGGAGUGGUACAUAGUCUUGAAGGUUGGUCUCAUCAUGAAGUUGGGGCCAUAGAUGUUAACAGGAUUGAUCUUGUGUGGCAAGCAGCACUCAAACAUGGUUUAAGGCUUGUUUCAAGUCAGCACAUUAAAUGUCAUUAAAAAUAUAUAUUUGCCAAACAACUUUAUAAAGCUCUGUCUUAUAUUUGUUUUGGUAAUCUUUCAUAUCAUGAGUGGCCAUCAAGUUUGGUUGUAUUCAUUCAACUUACUUUAAUUAGUGUGAUAUUUAUGUUUAUUAUUAAACGAUCAUUUAUAUGAUCGCAUACAUAUUCAUAGUUAUUCAUAAUCAUACCAUAAAUGAAGUGAAAGCAAACUUAGCUAGCUUCACAUUUUUCAAAUUUCUUCUAUAUUCAUUUCUUCUAUCGUAUGUUAAUUACUUUUUAGAUAGUGUUGAAAUGCACAAAGACAUAACACAAAUAGAUGGUGAAUUGAGCCAUGCGAUCUCUUCUUUUCAAUCAAUAAUAUCAGAAAAAUGAAAGUGUUGUUAUCAAUACAAACAAAUGACAAACAAGAAAAGGAAUAAUAAGUCAUGCAGCUAAUUAUAAUAAGAAUUAACAGCUAAUCAUUUAAUCUUUAAGAGAUCCUCCUGUAUCUUAUGUCUCACUUGAAUUGUAACCAAUUUUUUGAAAAAUAAUUAAUUAUGUUGAUUUUAAUCAUAAAAUGAAUUUCAUUUACACUUAUUAAUUGUGUUGAUUUUAAUAAUUCAAUGAAUUAAAACACAAUAAAUAAAAAUAUAUAUGUUAAUAAGAAAAAUAAUUAAUAUUUCAUUGAUAAUAUAAAAAACACAAUUGAUUUACAAUAAAUAAAUAUUACAAAUGAGAUACUUCAUAUCAGAUAGAGGGACUAGUAUUUCAGUAUUUUAGGUUAUAACUCACAAUUAUGAGGUGAUUAGGGUUGUGCAAAAAAUCCGGUUAUGAGGUCGAAAUUCAAAACUGGAUCUAAAUUCAUUUUAAAUAUUCGGUUAAAAUCAUAUGGUUAUAAUCCGGUUUAUUUAUAAACCGGUUGGAUAACUACUUAUGUUUUAUAUUUGGAUUUGGUUUUUAUCCACUACCAAUAUUUUGUAAAAUUUUGAGAUUUUAUUUCUUGAAAAUAAUUUGAAAUUUUUUGUUUUCAAAAAAAUUUCGAAAACAAUAAAUAAAAAAAAAAACUUUUUUUUCUCAAAAUAAUUUUAAAUCGAACUUUUUCUCGAAAAAUUAGGUGAGAAUUUUUUUAAAAAAAUUUAUCGAAAAAAUUGAUUUUUUUAAAUAACCGAUUUUUAAACUAUGAAUAAAUAUUAUUUUUAUAAAAAAUCAAAUUUUAACCGAUUUUGAAAAAAAAUAUCGAUUUUAAAAUUAAAAUUUUCAAAAUCAGUUGCUUAAUUAUAAACCGAUUAUUUAACCGUAACCAAUUUUACCAUUGGUUUUAUAAUAGAUUUUAAAUCAAAUAAUGAAUUUGGUUAUAAAUCCUAAUGCAUAUAUUAAUUUUAAAAUGAAUUUGAUUUAGUUUUUUAAAAAAACCAACCAUAAACAGCUCUAGAGGUGAUAAUGUUACAUCGAAAAUUUAUUGAAUUAAAUUUUAAGUAUUUAUAGUUUAUUUAAAAUCUUCGUACACAGUAGAAAAUGAGACUUGAAAUUCAAAUGACUUAUAAUUUAUGAUUUCGGAUAAAUUAUUUAAUUUUUUAAUUUGAGAGAGUAAUAAGAUGAUUUGAGGAAAGAACAUAUAAAUUAGAAUCAUAAAGAAGCUGUAGGUUCAACUCCCUUAUCCAUCAAAAAUUAAUAUUUGGCCAUUUCAAAAUAAUACUAAAUUAUUGGUGCUCUAUAAUUUCAAGAUUCAACAACAUUAUUUAUUCGCCACUGAGCACGGUUUAUUAAAUGAAUAAUGUGUACGAUAUGUUUUUUCACGAACAAAUUACGAAAGCUAAUAUUUUAAAUUAGGAAAAGUAACUAUACACUAAGUUGAAAUAGUCAAACCAAUUAAAAAAUGACACAUAUGAUUUUUUACAUUUCUGUUUUUAAUUAUAAUAUUUAGCAUUUUUCUUAUUAGAUAUAUCUUUAUCGAUUAGUUAAUUAUUUAUUUAAUUGACUAUAUAGUUUUAUAUAACUUUUGAUGUAAAUAACAAUUUUUUCAAUUAUCAAUAUAAUUCAACUUAAUUUUUUUCAUUUAUCUCUUAUCAAUAGUUUAAAUAAAAACUUAUGAUAUGGUUAUAGAGAUUAAUUAUUUCCUAUUUUUUUUUUCAAAAAUAUAUUGGAAAAUUUUUCAUAUAAACUUAAUUGAUUUAUCUUUUCUUUUUUGCUUGACUCUUGAACAAUUUGUUCAAUUUUCGCUCCAUCUUUCUCGAUUCAAAACAAAUUCUUUUUGCUUCUUUCUUUAUUUUCUUAUCUUUUCAUCUCAAAUUUCAAGUUAUAAUUAUCUCAUCACAAUAAUUAUAAAAAAAAAAAAAAAGAAACUCAUCAAACAAUGAAUGUUUAGAACAAAAUAUUUGUCUAACAAACUUUUUACAAAAUGCAACUUUUCUUCAAUACUUUGAUGUCUAAUUUAUUUCGACGUCAACAACUUUCGUCAAGUAUAAAAAAGAUGUAGUCAAGUAUAUUAUUCAAAUUAUUCUCGUCUUAAAUUUUAGAAUAUAUGCUAUCAAAAUAUAAAAAUUAUUAAUUGAUUAGUUUUUCAAGUAGUUCAUUUAAGUGCAUUAUUUUUAUAAUUAAUUUUAACAAAAAAUUAUAUAAAAAAUUUCUUAUAUAUAUUAAGGAUACAGGUAGUAUUUGCAGUAUUGGAGAGUUAUGACUUACUAUAUAUAGUAUAUGAGAUAAAUUUUGAAUAUUUUAUUUUUCAAAUUAGUUAGAUGUAAGGGACCUGUUAGUGCCUGUACGUGGCAGACAAUGGAGCAAUGAAUGAUAUAUAAUUUUUCUGAUAUAUAGUUGUUGGUUGCAUUAAUUUGAAACCGUCCAAUCAAUAAUCGUUUGAUUGUUUGGGAAAAGCUAACAAUUGGUGGUUAUCAGUUAGAUUCUAGUCAAUUCAAUUACCAAAAAUUUCAAGAAAGGUGGCGGAGAGGUGGUGAGAUUUUUUUUUUUUUUUUUUAAUUUACGAUAAAAUAUUUAAUUUAACGAUAUACAUUUAUAAGUUGAUAUAAUAAAUUCAUGUAAAUAUUUUUUUUUUUCAAUUUUUAUUAAUUAAACUGGUACAUGAAUACAUACUUAUAUUCUUUUUUUUUGCUAAGUGUAUAUAGACUUAUAUUGGCAUGUGAGUAUGCCCAAGAAACAUAUAAAUUUGGUUUGUUUGUCGAAUAAAUCACAAUAAUUUAGUUUUGAAAUUCUACGGACAAAGCAAUUUCGAAAAUAUUGAUGUACCAAGAGAAAUUUCAAAAAUAUUGAUUUAAAUAUUGAUGUACCGAGAGAAAUUUCAAAAAUAUUGUAUUUUUAUUUUGAUGUACCGAGAGAAUUUUCGAAAAACAUUUCAUUGGAUCUAAUGAAUAUUUCUACUAGAAAAAUGCCAAUUAUAGACUAUCAAAUGUCUUCGUUAAUUAAGUAAAACCGUCGGUAGCUUAAUAGUACUGGCCGUCUUCAUACUUUAAUAAUAAAAAAAGAAAGAAAAAAAAAACCCUUUAUUUCUAGUCAAUUUCAAAAAGAAAAAUAUUUGUAAUUAUUUUUAAACUUUAUCUCAAUUGAUGAACAUAAAUAUUGUGUGAUGGACGAAACUAUCACAAAUUUGUUUCCUAUUUAAAUUUGUGGUUGCAUAAUCCCUUAAAAAAUCUAUUAAUUAUCUCACAAUUGUGUCAGUUAAUUAUGGCGUAAUUUAUCAUUUUAUCUCUUUUAAGAUAAAAAAAUGUAAUCACUAAUUGUAAACUUCAAAUAUAUUGUUAUUACAUAUUGAAAAAAAACCUUAAUUAAAUAUCAUUUUGUAAUUGAUUGAUUUUAUAAGGGAUUAUGCGGCCACAAAUUUGAAUAGGAAACAAAUUUGUGAUAACUUCGUCCAUAUUCACACAUUUGUGGAUACUUAGUAUGCCACAUAUUCUCCUUCUAUUUUUUCUUUAAAAUUUUUUUCUAACAAUUUUCUCUUCUCAUUUUCUCCCUUUAAUUCUUAGUUCUAUCUUUUUUCUAAACUUUUUCUUAAACAUUUUCUCUAUGUUUCCUCUACUAUUAUUUUCUACCUAUAUUAUCUACUAUUUUUAUUUUACAUUUUAAAUAAAAAAAUUUAUUUGAAUUUUUUCUUUCUUUUUUGUUUUUCUUAAAUUGUUUACAUUUUUUGAAAGAAAUUUAAAUUGUUUUUUCUAUUUUAAAAUAAAUUUGUAUAUUUUUUAUUUUUUUAAAUGGUAAUUUACAAUUUUAAUCGCCAUAAUUUUUUUUUAUAUAUGAUCAUUUGUGAUCGUUUAAACCUCCACAAAAUGACUGAUUUUAUGUAAAAAGAAUUUCAGAGGAUUCAAACUCUCAAAAAUUAGUGCGAGCUCAUACACUCAUAUUUUUGUGAUGGUCUUGAGUCAAAUGAUCACAAAGUCUUUACCAAAUUUAAAUUAAAAGAAAUCAUCAAUUUACAACAUCUAGACCACUAUAAAUUUUUUGAGUAAAUGAUCACAAAGUCUUUACCAAAUUUAAAUUAAAAGAAAUCAUCAAUUUACAACAUCUAGACCACUAUAAAUUUUUUGAGUAAAUGAUCACAAAGUCUUUACCAAAUUUAAAUUAAAAGAAAUCAUCAAUUUACAACAUCUAGACCACUAUAAAUUUUUUGACCAACUCAAAUGUUAGUGCUUUUGACUGUCACAAGCCCGCUCCAAAUAAUUAUUUGUGUUGUUAAUAUAAUCUUGUGAAGGAUUUUGGCCGCUACAAAAUAUUAAUUCUGUUGUAGGAAAAAAGUUAUGAGAGUUUUAUACAUCACAAAUCUAUGUGAUUUUAAAAUAAUUCUUUGAGAGAAUCUUUAUCGCCACAAACUUAUUGAGUUUUAAAUAAAAACCUAUUUGUGAGAGUCAUGACCACCAUAACCUAUCUACAAAUUCUGUUCGAAAAUUUUGACAACCAUUUAAAGAAGAUUUUUUAAAAACAAGAAUUAUUAAUUAACUUUUUGAAUAAUCUGUAAUAAAUUAGACUAUUCAAUUAUGAUCAAUGACAAGUAUCUACUUUAACAAUUGAAUUAUUUAAUUGAUAUCUCAUCAAAUAGUCAAUUUAUUAUUGAAAAUUUAGACGACAAAAAUUGUCUCUCAUCGUCACUCUUAGUUCUUACAUAUCCCUAAUGUACACAUAUUGUCUAUAUUAAUAAUACAUGCUAUGAUUUGUAUUUGUUAUCUUCCCUUAAACUCCUUCACGAUAUCCAAGGACAAAUUUUAUAGCAAUCUGAUUUACGGUAGAGGCUACGGUAAAUCACUUCAUAAGUUAUGGUUGAUUUAAAGGUAAAACUACUAAAUUAAUUGUUUUAAUUUUAAAUAAAUAAAUAACUUUUUUUUAAUAAAAUAGUAUCUAUUUUUUUUUUGUAAUUAUAAAAUAAUUUAAUGUUCUAAUAUUUUUAAAUUUAAAAAUUAAUAAAAUUUAUCUAAAAUAUAUAUUAUUUUAACCAAGGUUAAAUUAAUCAACUGAAUUAUUUUUUUUAAAAAUAUCAUUUAAAAUUAAUUAUAUUAAUUUAAUAAAUAUUGUUUUGUUUUAAAGUGUCAAAAAAACUAAUCAUUUAUAAAUAAAAAAUUAGUAAUUUUACUGAGUUACAAUUAAAUGGUCUAAAAAAUCAUAUUUAAAUUCAUUUAAAUCUCUAUGUGGCUUUAACCUGCCCUACCAUAGGUGUAUAGAUUAUUAGCUCUUUUGAUCAUUAUGACUAACAAUAUAAUAAGUCAAUCGAUGUGAAUUCAAUAAAUAAAUAAAACAAAUAAAUUUUUCAAAAUUUAAUCCAUUAAAUUAAUAUCAAUCAUAUUAUUUGAUCUUCAAGACGAAAAGAGCCGCUACAUUAAACUUUUGAGUAGUGUACCAUGAUUCAUAAGGGAGAACCUAUAUCCAUAAUCGACCUUAGAAUUUGCCUAGGAUUUACAGAUACUGGAUUCUUAAAGCAUAUAUAUUCUGCGGUUAUGCCAUCGAGCCAUUGGUUAAAAUGAAUACUCGAGAACGUCAAAUGUGUGUCGUGAACAAUAGAAUGUAUAGCACCUCAAACUAUCAAUUAAAAUGUGGUUGAAAAAUAGAACAAUGUUAGGAGCUAAUUGAAAUACAAACACCAAUUGCUUCUAUGGAAAGCUAAAACCCAAUAGAAUUACAACAUAAUAACAAAUAGUGACAAAACAACGGGGAGGAAAUCUAAUAAGACGGUCCUACAAUAAUAUGUAAAUAAGAAAGAAUGUCAAUACAGUAUCACAACCGAAAUCUACAAUCACUUGUAUAUUAAAGUUUAAUUAAUCAAUAUAAACAAUCUAUACGUACCAAAAAAAAAAAUAUAUAAACAAUUUUAUGAUGUUUUUUUUUGUAAGUAUAUGUUAUAGUUGCGAAAUAUAAGUUGUUUUGUUGAUAACUAAUUUCCAGUAAAAAAUCUAGUUUAUCAUUUUAAACGAGGUUUCUCACUUCAACUAUACUUUUAAAUUAGAUAUUUUUUUGUUAGCACAAGAUUAUAUUAAAGCAUACACUGACGAGUUUUGUAUCGUACACUCCCUAUCUGUACGGUAUACCUUCCUUAUUUCAAUGGAAAAUAACAUAUUACUCAUUUUUACUAUGUAUAAAACCAUCAAAAAAAAUUUACCACUUUUUUCUCACCCCACUUUCGAAAAUUACAAAAUCUUCUUAAAAAUUCAAAAAUUUCAAACUUUCAAAAUAUAAAAAAGUGAGUUUUGUUGACAUUUUCGAAAGUUUUGUUAAAUAUGAAACUUUCGAAACUUAAAUUUCCAGAAAUUUUAACAAAUUUCAAAACUUUGGAUAAGUUUAAAAGUUUUGAAGUGUGUUUUUCCAAAAAUCAUCAAAACUUUCGAAAAGUUUGAUGAAUUUGAAACUUUUAAAACGUAAUGCUCGAAACUUUCAAAUUCCCGAAGUAAUUCAAUUUCAAAAAAUUCAUAACUUUCGAAAGUUUCAAUUUAUUUCAAAAAAUAUAUGUUGUCUUUUAUAAUUAAAAUUUUAUUUUGAAAAAUAAAUUUAUAAUGUUAUUAUUAAUUAAAUUUAUUGUUAUUUUUUAAAUUAGGUAUGAAAUUGAUUACUAUUAAUUUAUUACUAAAAAAAAAUAUUUCAAAACUUCUGUAUUGUUCCCAAAUUUUCGAAACUUGUUUCGGAAGUUUUAUUGAAGAUCAAACUUUCAAAACAAUGUCAGAACUUUUCAUAUUCCAAAAUUUUGAAACUGAAAAACCUCAUGUUUCUGAAUUUUACAUUUUGAAACUUUCAAAUUGUUAGAAAGUUUCGAAUGUUUCUGUAUUUCGAAAGUUUCAUCUUCAUGGAAACUUUUCAAAGUUUCAAAAUUUUAGAAAAAAAUGAACUACAAAAUUUCAUGUUCAUGGAAACUUUCGAGGAUUUGAAAAAUUAAUGUUUCGAAAAUUUCAAAGUUUCGAAAUUUAUUUUACUUUUGAUUUCAAAGGUUUCAAAUGUUCGAAUGUUUGCAAAUAUGUGAUUCGAACAAUUCAAACUUUCAAAGAAAAUAGAUGAAAAAAAGAAAAGGAAAACUUUUUGAGAAUUUUUACUAAUAAUAUUAAGGACAAUAUGAUAUUUUUUAUAGAGAUAGAAGUGGGAGGUAUAGGUAGAGGGUGCGAGGUACAAAACUCUUAAGUAUAAGUAUCGUGUAUUGCUGUAUCUGUGAAAAUGGUCUAAAGGCCAACAAAGAAAAAUCUGUUGAAUAAGGCCAGAGUCCAACAUACACACUAGUAUUUAUUGGGCCUGCAUGAGAGUAGUCACAAAACAAACUUGACACGUGACACUAGUGGUUUCCGUGAAAUGGACACGUGUGCCGUUGUUAAAGUUUGUAAACCGCCAACAAAACAAACAAACAAACAAACAACGUUGUCCAUGCCUCUUUCUCUCAAAACUCUGCAUUUUGGAUUCAACACAGAACGAAUAAGAAAUGGAAAACAGAACGCGCCUUAGAGUUCAAAAUAAGAAACCAAUUAAGCGCAGCGGAAGAAAACCGUUGGUGAAAAAGUUUUUUGAUUAUCUCAAAUCUGAUACUUUUAUGUACGCUCCUCUUGUCUCUCCUCAACCCUCUGUUUUACCCUCACCCAACGCCUUCAAAGGUUUCAAAUUCAAACUUAACCAUUAUUUUCUUUUCCUUCAUUGCCUUUUUUUUUUACUUUAUUUGAUGGUUUGUUAUGAUCUCAGUGGUGGAACUGAAAAGACCUAUAAAAGAGAAGCAUUGGUUUGGGGAGUAUCUCAAAUCUCAUGGGUAUAUGUAUGAUCCGUUGCUUGAGCUUCCAUUUUCACCUCAAGGUACUUUUUUUUUAAUCAAUUUUCAGCUAUUUACCAGUUUGUCCCUGAACCCUGCUCUAGGGACCUUUGUCAGUACCUAACAAUUUGGAAAUAGGAAAAGGUUUACAAAACCAUUUAUUCAUUGGAUGCUUAGGUUUAGAUUUUAUUUUAAAAUAUGGUAGAUGAUUUCAUUAACAUCAUAUCAUUAUGUCUAGCAGCUCAUUUUAUCCUCUUUUUUUAGCAUAAUUGGUAGCUUUAUGUCGGAGUCUUAAACAUAAACAGACAUACCAAUACUCCUAUUUAAAAUAAUUUGAUUGAAAUGGAAUACUGAAAAGUUGAAUCUUUAAGUAAUGCAAGAAUCAAAAUAUUAAACUUAAAGAAAGUUGAUGUAUUUUGAAACUGAAAUUGUUUCAUGAUCUAUUGUUAAGAGUCUAUUGACCUGCAACAAAAACAGGUUGCAAUGUAACAUCAUGUUACUGUCACUUGAUUAUUCAUUGAUUUUGUGUUGUUCAUCUGCUAAAUUGCAGAACCUUUGGAGGACUGUGUAACAAUAAGGAAGGAUGUUUCAACUGGAAAGUCAACUAUGAAUGUCAACAACAAAGAAACUAAUCAUUUAGGAAAUGUGAACCGAAGGUCUGAAAGCCAUGUUCCUCAAACGCAUCUCUCAGAUCACCGUACUCCGGGACACAAGGAAACUAUGAAGCAUACCGUAUACCAAAGUUGUCGCUCAACUUCAACUUCAAGUAAAAGUCUUUUGUUGCAUAAAAUGCAUUAGUUAGUUGACUGCUUUAACUUCUCUGAUAUAUCAACUAUUUCAAUUGAUGAUUUGCUGUUUGUUGUUGAAAAUGAGAUUCAAUUUAAUGAUUGAGACAGUAUGACUUAUGCUAGAAUUAGAUUUAAUGUUCUUUAGAUGUAAGAUGAGACUAGGAAAUUUAGUCAUUUUGAUGGUUAAUGUAUUGUGCCAAGUUGACGAUAUAGUAUUUUAAUUAAGAAUUAUUUUGACACACAUAACUCUGCUUAUGUUGUAUGCUGCAGGAAAUGUGACCCUCAAGUCACCGCUGAGAGCUCAUACUUGAUGGAAUCUUUUUAAUAUAAAUAGAAACAUAGAAGAUAAUAACCUAUAUGGGGUGUUGUUUUAGGUGUUUGGUGUUCAUAUGAUGAAUGUAUUUAGAAUUUGACUAGUUAUAGUCUUUGUCUUUUGGUAGAACAUACUAAUGCCAAAUUUGUAUUAGCUUAUUUUGAUAUGCUUUACAUGUAACGUAUAAGUUGUUUCAAUGUAUAGUUUGGAUGUAUAGUUAAAGGACAUGGAAUUCAUCUUUUUCAUCUGAUAAGAGAUAUUUGGUUGGUUUUUUGUAAGUUGGGCAAAUUCUAACCUGAACCACAUUGAUAGAUGAUUAAGAGAGUCAAUUGUUACAUCGACUUGAUCUUAUAGAUCAAGUAGAGUAUUAAUUUAUUUUUUUGUAGAAUACUAACUUAUUUUUUUUUAAAGAGGAUUGUUGAUCGUCGGUAUCUUAUAGAUCAAGUAGAGUAUUAAUUUAUUUUUUGUAGAGUAUUAACUUAGAGUAUUGUUGAUCGACGUUAUAGUUUUGAGUAAUUUUUAAGUAUUAAUUUCUGGAAGGCAAUUCAUUUAAUUCAUUUAAUAUAUGCAAAGUGGAUUUGAUUUUUCUAAAGUAAGAAAUUAAUAAAUUGGAGAAAUGAAUAGUUGAUAAUAUAAUUACUUAUCAUUAAUCAUGAAUGUAUAAAUUAUAUUAAUUAUUAAUUUGAUUAUUUAUAGUUGAUAUUAUUAUUUUAAUUUUUUAAAUGAGUGGUUUACUUUAGAAAAGUCAGAUUACUAUAAAAUAGAUAUCUUAGAGAAAUCAAAUCUCUACAAAUUAGAUAUUUUAGAAAUGAUCUUAUCAAAGAUUGAUUUUGAAUAGUGUUGUGCGCACAAAUAACCUCUACAAUGUCUUCCUUCUCGUCUUUACUCUACUUAAUGAUUUGUUUUACAUCUAUCGAUCUUCAACUUCAGUUGUUUAAACUUAACAUCCCAGCUCCCGUUUUUCACUUGAAUUUGAGCUGUUUUUUCUUUCUGAAUCUUGAACUUGAUUGAGCUGUUGAGCAUGCAUGAUAUUGAUGAUCUUUUAUUUUUGGAACAAAAUUUGUAAGGUGAUAGUAAUUAUUAGGUGACAUUUAUUAUAAUAUUUUUUCAAUGGGUUCCUCUAAUUAUGAGAUGUUUUACUUACAAUUUAACAUCUCUUGCUUUACAUAUUUAACAACUGUAAAUAGUUACGGACAACAAAAAAACAAUGGUUUAAUACAUCUAUUAUUAAUGAGAUGGAUGCGUAUUAUAGAGUUAGGUCAGAGGCCUACUAUUACCUUUGUUAGCUAGUCCUUAAGAUGAAGGAGUAGAUUAUACUCCAAGCAUCAUACAUCUCUACUUAAGUGUUUUUUUAUAAUCAAAUAUAAGAAAUAAUCAAUGGUUAAAUUAGUUUUUUAAAUUUGAACAUGGGACAUCCUUUUUAAUAUUGGAUGUUUUUUAACUCACCGAUCAAAGUUAAUUAUAGAUGAGUAUUGAGAGUUGUUUAUAAAGUAGCAUUAUAAUAUAAUAUAUUAAUAAAUAAAAAGUCCAUGGUCAGUUAAAGAGAAACACUGAUAUGAUUCCGUUUCCUUUUUACUCAAAAGAAACAAGCUCCAAUUCAAUGAAAUAUUAAAAUGAAGAAUAUAUGAUGGAUAACUAAAAUAAUUGUAGUGAAAUUUGGAGGCAAAGAAACACAAUGAACACGGAUAAGAAAAACUUAUGCAUCACAACUCACAAGUACAUGCUAUGGAACGAACAUUAAAAAUGAACGUGGUCGAAAAUAUUGAUUUAAUUUUUACUGCACCGGAUUAAACUUGAGUACAGUAAUUCGUUUUGUGGCACAUAAUAAGAAUGAUUUAUAUAAAGAAACAAGCCCCGAAGAUCUCGUAGUGGUGGUAACUCUACCAUGCAUAUCAUGGUCUGCCACUGUCCUAAAAGCUGUAAAUCGAUUAUAUAUGCGUGGUUGCUAGCUAGCUAGCUACUUCUUCUUCAUAUAUAACAGCUUCCUUAUUAACAGGAAUGACACAUUAUUUGCUUCCUGUUGUUGCCGGCUAGCUAGCUCGUUUCUGUCAAUUUACAAGCCUACCCUAUAUUCUACAUUAUUUUUUUCGAAUUUUUUAACAUGAACCGCGUCCAUCCAUCGUGGACAUGUAAUUGAAAAGGUUUAAAAUUGGAUUUAAAUAUACAAUUAAUUCUUUCAAAACCUAAUAAAAAGUUUAUUUUAGUCUCAACAAAAUAAAAAUUUCAGUUUAAGUCAUUGUAAAAUACAAACGUUUUCGUUUUAAUCUCUAAUGUUAAACACUAUUAGUUUUUAAGGGUUGAAUAAUUAAUUUUUAUACUUAGUUUUUACAAUAUUUAAUAAAUUUAAUUUUAAUCUCUAUAAAAUAUAAUUGAUUUUAGUCUCUCUAUACAAAAAAACAUUGUUCUACUCCAAUGUACGGUUUUAUAAUAAAUUAUAAUUAAUUUAUUAUUAUUAUUAUUAUUAUUAUUUAAUUAAAAGAUAUAAAAAAAUUAAUUUAGAUAAAUUAAUUCAUGACAAAGAUUUAUUCUGUUGUAAUUAUAUAUUUCAUCCGCUUCUCAAUGUCAAAAAUUAUAGUUAACACAUUAGUUUUAUAUUGACAGUAUUAAAGAAAUACCGAUUUUUUUACUGACAAACAAACAAUUCUCCUUGCAUGAUUUUGAUAAUACAUUUAUAAUUAUUAUAUGAUAAUAUUCUCAAUUUUAUUUAGAACACAUUGAAAAUAUUAAAUUUAACUAAUUAAUUAGAAAGAUACUCUUAUUAUGUUUAUGAAUUAUACGUGUGAACUACUUCUUUUGUGAUUCAUUUUUAGAAGAAAAAAUAUGAAAAAAAAUUAUAGUUAUUGUUUUAUAAUUGUUCUCAUUUUUAUGUUGUAUAAUAAAUAUGAAAACAAAAAUUGUAAAAAAAAUUUAUCAUAAACAGUAUAAAAAUACAUUUAUUGUCAAAAAAAAAUUAGUAAAAAUUAUUAUUUUAUUAAUAUCAUCAACAUAAAAAUCUGAAAAAUUAUCAUACAAUAAUUAUAAUUUUUUCACACUCCACGUUUUCACGUUUUUUUUUUCUUUUUUAAAAAAUAAAUCGUAAAAGAAACUGUUGGAACAUACAAUUCAUACACGUCACAAAUAUUUAUCUCUAUUCAAUUAGUUAAAUUUAUUAUUUUUUAUGUCUUCUAUACAAAAAUAAGAGUAAUUAUAAUAUACUAAUUACAAAUAUCUUAUAAAAAUCAUACACGCACAAUUGUUGGUCAAUAAAGAAUUAGUUAAAAUAAAUGUUUCUUAAUAUCGUCAACUUAUAAAUAAAAAGAUUAUGAUACAUUAAUUAUAAUAUUUUCACAUUAUUUGUUUGAAAAUGAUCUAUUAAAAAAGUUGGUAUAACAUAUAAUCAUAUUGUGGAUAAAUAAUUAUCAUUAUUCAUCUAGUAAAAAUUAAGAUUUUUUAUAUCUUCUAAAUAAAAAAGAUGAUUGUUUUAAUUUAUUAAAAAAUUGUAUACAAAAGUAAAAUAAAUUUUUUUAUGGUUAAAUAAAAUUUUAUUUUUAAUAAAAUCUCACUAUUUUGUUUUUAGUUCUUAUAAAAAAUUUCAUCACCUUUUAGUCCUUUAAAAAUUUUCCUUUUAAUUUUUUGUCCCUAACUUUAAAUCAACUAUUAUAUAUCAUUCGAAAUUUUAAAUGAUUUUUUGCAGUAAUGAUUAAGAUAUAUUUAACAACUUUCUGACAUCAAUUUAGAAUUUUUCAACAAAUAAUUAAUUAAUUAAAUAUAAAUUUUAAUUUUUUUUGUUUAAAAAUUCAUAUCUCAUUUGUAACUUUUUAAAAAAUUCUAAUUUUGUAUAUGAUUCUUUUUUUAAUGUCUAAGUAAUACUAUAAAAUAUCAUUCAAAAAUUUUAAAAAUACACAAUAAUUGUUAUAAAAUCAGGGAUCGAAAAUGAAAACGGAAAAUUCUCAAGAUUAAAAUAAAUUUUUUAUAAAAACUAAAAACAAAAUAACAAGAUUUUAUAUUUACUAAAAACUUAUUUGACCCAUUUUAUUACUACGUAAGUACUAAAAUCAAAUUUCUCACAUAUUGUAGGGACUAAAACAAUUUUUUUAUUUUGUCGAAACUCAAAUCAAAUUUGUUGGAUUUUGCAAGGACUAGGUUUAAAGCCAUUAAUUAUUUAACUUUUAAAAAACUAACGGUGUUAAGCAUUAGGGGCUAAAGUAAAAAUGUUUGCAUUUUGCAGAUAUUUAAACUAAUUUUUUUAUUUAUCGUGGACUAAAAACAAUUUUUUUUGCAUUUUGCAAGAACUAGUUGCAUAUUUUACCUUUUAAAAUUUCAAUGACUAUAGAGGUCUCUUAGAAAUAAACGUUAAUUGUCAUCUUCAAUUUCAUAAUAGUUGUUGGAAGUGAGUUCAAAAUUUCAAAGUAUGCAAUAAAAUUCAUAGAAAAAUGGAAUGAUUAUUUCAAAAGGUCUUAUACUUUGACUAGUGAGAUUUGCACAUUCAAUUUAGAAAAAUGAAUUAGGAGCGUUCUAGUAUUCAUUAUAAUUGAAAAGUAUUAAUCUCUUUCUGGAUGAAGGCGAAUUCCCUAUCCUAUAAAUAAAUAGAUUAGUUUAGAGGUGAAAUAUCCUCAAAUUUGAAUGAUCAUAGAAAGAGUUAUACAAUAUAUAUUUUAGGCGAUUAUGUGGUGAGUUAGGGUAUCUUCAACCAUGUCAUAGUAAGAGUAAAGUCAGAAUGAUCAUUUGUUGUGGAGGAAGUGAAUGUUCUCAUUUUUUAUAACUCUUAAAUUUGAGAUAUUAUUGUAGGAUGAUAUGCAUAUUGGAUUGGGUUACAAAUUGUUGUAAUUUUAUUUGAGAUAAUGAAUGAAUUUUGUUGGGGGCGUCAAAUUACUUCAUUUAUAGUUUGCUCUUGUAUAUUCAUCAAAUAUCUACCCGUGUAUGGAUUAAUAGUUGGCAUGAGUAGAUUUUUCCAACAUCGACUUACAUGAUAUCGAUUCGAUAAAAUAAAAAUAUGUAUAUUGUAUUAAAACGACAUCAAUGAAAGUCAUCAUUUCAUAACUAUAAAAAUAUAAAAAAAUCAUGAACUAUUUAUUCUGAAAAAUAUUAUAAAUCAUAGUUAAAUUUCUUAAGAAUUUUAUCCGUUAGAUCACUUAUGAAAGUAAUACAAAGUAAAGCUCGCCAUGAUAAAACUCAAAUGGUGAUUAGUACCCUCAAUUAAGUUGUUUUUAUCUAUUAAGCAACACCCCAAUUAAGCGCCUCCUUCUAAAUUGAAAAAAUUUGUGGAUAUUAAGGAGAGUGAAUUUACAAAGGCUCUUUCUAUUUUUAAUCUUUGCAUAUUAUAUUUAAUAAAAUAUAUUACAAUAUAAUAAAUACUAACAAAUGUACUUGAUAUACUAGUUUAAACUGUUAAAGAAUAAAAAAUAUUUAAAUAUUAAUAUAUUAAAAUGUUUGUUUUGCUAUUUUCAGUUUUAAAAAUUGAUUUUUAAUUUCUUAACUAAUUUCUUCAUGAAAAACAAAUUUAUUUCAUAUGUCUCUGUUUGAAGAAAAGUAGAGCGAUUCAAGAUACAUUUAAAAUACUUGUUAUAAUAAGAUAUUUAUAAAUAUUUUUUAAGUGUUGGUUGGAGGAAUAUAUAGUUAUGGACAAAAAUAUUCUAUACGGUUUGUAUAGGGUAUUUGUUUUAUUUAUUGUUCUUUAUCUGUUUCAAUUACAUCGACAAUUUAUAAAUAAAAUAUUUGAAUACAAUAUCAAUUAUAUUGUUAUUCAAAUAACAAUACUCAUAUUCAGAAAAAAAAAUAAAAAAAAAAAUACUUGCCAUAUUUUUUAUGAGUCCUGAAUAUAAAGUAUAUAAAUUUUGAAAAAUGUUAUCUAAACAUAAAAAAAUUAAUAUCUAACAUUGUAUUUGUAUACGGUUUGUAUACAAUGUUGAUUUUUUAUUUAUUAUUUUCUCUUUCUAUCAUUUCUAUCAAUAUAUAUAAUAUAUUUUUAUACAGUAUUAAAAUAUUGAGACAUAUAUUAUAUAUUAUAUAUAGACACACGGUGUGUUAAUCAUUAUUUUUAGUAAAAUUUUGUAUAAAAAUAAAAAUUAAAAAUAUUUUUUUUAAAACAAUAUAUAUAUUUAUGUAAUUAACUAUUUUAAAUAUUUUAUUAACUUUAAAAAUGCAUAUAAUUUACCAAUUUUUAAAUAUAUAUUUUAUUAAUUAUUAAAAUACAUAACAUUAAUCAUUUUACAGUAUUUUUUUAACUAUUAAAUAUUAAUACUCUAAAGUAGUUAAUAUUUUACAUUUUAAUUGUUAAUAAGUUAUAUCUUAAAUAAAUAAUUAAUAAUUUAUAUACUGUUCACCUUAUAAAUAAAUAAAUAAUUUUUUUUUAAAAAUAAAUUAAAAUACUGUUCACCUUAAAAAUAAAAUAAAUAAUAUAUAUAUCAAAUAUUGUGUCCAUAAUUUAUAUUUAAAUAACAUUUUUUUCAUUUUUUAUAUAUUUAAAUACCAUUAACCUUAAACUUUAUGUUUAGGGAAACAUAUAUUAUAUAUUAUAUAUAGACACACGGUGUGUUAAUCAUUAUUUUUAGUAAAAUUUUGUAUAAAAAUAAAAAUUAAAAAUAUUUUUUUUAAAACAAUAUAUAUAUUUAUGUAAUUAACUAUUUUAAAUAUUUUAUUAACUUUAAAAAUGCAUAUAAUUUACCAAUUUUUAAAUAUAUAUUUUAUUAAUUAUUAAAAUACAUAACAUUAAUCAUUUUACAGUAUUUUUUUAACUAUUAAAUAUUAAUACUCUAAAGUAGUUAAUAUUUUACAUUUUAAUUGUUAAUAAGUUAUAUCUUAAAUAAAUAAUUAAUAAUUUAUAUACUGUUCACCUUAUAAAUAAAUAAAUAAUUUUUUUUUAAAAAUAAAUUAAAAUACUGUUCACCUUAAAAAUAAAAUAAAUAAUAUAUAUAUCAAAUAUUGUGUCCAUAAUUUAUAUUUAAAUAACAUUUUUUUCAUUUUUUAUAUAUUUAAAUACCAUUAACCUUAAACUUUAUGUUUAGGGAAAUGUUUUUCGACACAUAUAAACACAAACAUCAUAUAUUAUAUACAGUUUUUCAAUUUUUAAUGAUUUUGUCGAUAUAUUGUUCUCAGACCUCGAAAUCGAUAUUUAUGUUUAAUUUGAUACGGUAUAAAAAUAGAGCGUACAAAAUCGUAUACAGAAAUAUUUAAGGGCAGUGCAAGUAAUGUGUUGGAAAAAGGAAGGUUGGAAAAGUAGUAAUGAAAUUGAUGGAUGGGAAAUUUGUGGAAGUAGAAGACGCAGAAAAUCCGGAGCGCACAUGCAUGUAUUGAAAAGACUAGUCUAUUGAACUCCUUAUGAUUAUAUGCUCUUGUCUUAUCAUGAAAGAUAAGUUAUGUUAGGAAAACCCUUCUUUCCACACCUAAAAUAAGGGCCCCUUCAAACCUAUGCACGUGCAUUUAAUUUUAUUUAAUGUAUAUACACCCCACUCCACCUUAAUCACACUGCCUUCGAAAUUUAUAAUUGUUACAUGCAGCCCCGGCCAGUUAUGGAUAUACAAUGUCGUUGGAUUAUUUGACAAAAAUUUGUUUUAUAAUACAAUACUAUACAAUUCUACAUAUAAAAAGCUGAAAUCAUUGAAAUUAAUGUUGUGCAAAUACCUACCUAUAUACCAUUUUAAUCCAGUAAUUAAAUUGGACUCCCGACAGGUACAUAUACAUUUAUAUGAUACUUUAUGUGUACAGUAAUUUACACUAUUUUCAGCAAUAAUAGUACAUACCAAUCUUUAUCUGGGCUAGGCUGGAGUCUUGGCUAGUUUCAAUGUUAGAAAAAGACCUAUAACAAUUUCUCCAAAUAAAAUAUUGGUCUCCACCAUAUUGAUCUGGAUAUAUUAAUGAAAGAAUUUUCUCCCGUUUCCUUCAAUCCAAUCAUAUUCAUUUAAAAAAGAUAGAGAAAAAUAAAUUAUUAAUUAUUAUUAUUAUUAUUAUUAUUAUUAAAUAAUAGUUAAAGUGAUAUUAACGACUCUUUUAUAUAUAUUUUGAAGAAUACUUGAACUACCUUACGAUGUAGAGAGAAAUAAAAUGUAUGAUAAAAUAAAGUUAAUGUUUAUAGUUUACAAUUUGUAGUUAAAUUAUGGUAUAUAUUACAACAUAAACCUUGCUCGUGCUAAAAUAAUAUGCUCAUUCAUCACUAAUUGUGAAUAAUACUCAAUAAUUUAAUUCUCACUUGAUGCAUAUAAUCGAAUCAACAUGGCUAUUGGCUACUAAAUACUCUUACGAAGCUUCGAGGUUGAUAUUAAACAAUAAUUAGGUUUGUGAUAAUGUUGAAUUUGACUAUAAUGAUAGGAACAACAACGACCCAAUAAAUAUCGUACAUAACUGCAAUUAUAGCAAAUUAAAAUUCAAAAUAUUAUAAUCAAUGAAACAAUGUCCAUAUUUCCUAUAUGAAUUGAGACUCCGUAUUGACGAAAAAAGAAUUGAAAAAUUGAAUGAUGUUUUGUGAAAGGGGAGUUGAAAAAUCUGAUAUAGGAAGUCACCGAUGAGAAGGUGAUGUGAUUGAGAUAAAUUAGUAUCUAGUGUCACUAUCAAUCCACCACAAACAAUUCUGUUACCCAUUGACACACCUCUAAACUUUUCUACCAUUGUGAAUUCAAUUAUUGACAGGAAUGUCCCCUUCAUUUCAUUUCCCUAUAUAUAACCACCCAUCCAUCCAACCCCUUAAAUCAUUCAUUCAUUAUCACCCCAUCUCAUUAUCAUCUUUUUUUCUAAUCUCUCUUAUUUUAGUUUCUAGGAAUUGCAGGGGCAAAAUGGGAAUAAGGCAAGGUUUGCAUGUAAGAGGAAGAAAGAAGAAGGCAAAACUGUGUUUGGCAAAAAAAGCCAAUGCUGGAAAAAGUACUUCCUUACAAAAGAAGUUUCGAGAGCUUCAGAGGACUAUUCCAGGGCAGGAAUUGAACAUGCACAAUUUGUUUCAAAGCAUUCAAAAAUACAUAUUUUUACUUGAAGCUAAAGUCACUAUUUUAAGGUGCUUGUCCAACUCCUAUGGGGUAUAAGCAAGAAAAAAUAAUAAUUAAUCUAUAUAUAUUUUAUCUCUAGAGAAAAAGAGUGCCCCAUAAAAUGGGUGAAGAUAAGGUUAUUAGAUAAAAUAUAAAAUAAACAAAAUUUCUGAGAAAACAUUGCAGGGAUUAAUUAUUUAUUCCAGGUGUUGGAUGGAAUAAUGUAUAAGGUUGUAAUUUGUUUAAACUCUAGAAUAAUUAAAGAAUUAUUAUGUAUUUACUUUUUAAAUCGUAUUUUUCACUCACUUCUCCUAUUAUUCUCUUUACCAUUAUUUCAUACUCAAGAUCUCCGUAGCUAUUUCAUUUCUCUCUUCUUUGUAUCCCUCUCUAGUGAUUCAGUGAACUUAUGUGGUUUUUGUAUUAGCAUACUUUAUGCUUAGAGUGGUGCCUAGCUUAUAAUUCAUUUUUCUUUUUCUAAAAAGAAAAACGCAUUGUUGAUUGAGAAGGCUAACAUCGAAAACUUUUUGACUCACUCAGUUCUUUCGGCCUUAUCCUUUACCUUGUAGCCCAAAAAUACCAUCAUUACAUCACAUUGUAAUCCUAUUUCUAAGUAUGGAACAAAAGAAAUAUAUUUUCUAAUUAUAUCCACAAAUAUCUAAUAUCUAUAUUUAGAGAUACAAACAAAAAUUAAAAAAUAAUUGACACUAUCUUUGUUUCUAAUUAUAUGCAUAUUAUAGACGGA
This 55489-nucleotide long non-coding RNA is filed under the name Cicer arietinum (chickpea). RNAcentral's name for it is "long non-coding RNA (CARI_LNC002171)". The record is from RNAcentral. Lineage: Eukaryota; Viridiplantae; Streptophyta; Magnoliopsida; Fabales; Fabaceae.